AAUUUCCAAGCAAGGCCCGUGCAAACGGUAUCCAGGCUUCGUUGCUGCAACUGGAAAGCGUGCGACAUGCGUCAGCCAAAAGCAGCAUCCUUCAAGUACACGUUACGCAUCGUGCUGCGACGUGCAUUUGAACUUUCAAGAGUGGCCAAAGAAAAGCAUCUCUCUCUCUCUCUCUCUCUCUCUCUCUCUCUCUCUCUCUAGGCGGUGCUCCAGAUCUGAGUUGCGCCCUGAAGAAGCACGGCCUCUCUCUCUCCAUCUAUCAAGGCCAGAUCGCGCCGGGCGCUUCGGCUUCAGCUCGCGAAUGGGUGCUCGCAUCGUAUACGGGGUCGUGUUCGUGUCGUGCUCCUGCGCCUGCAUCAAGCUUCUCCACCUCCUCCUCCGCCCCAUCUUGUACUUCACCUCCUGACCCGAAAUCUCAGUCGAUGAACAAUGGUUAGCUGAUUCCCAAUUAUCUCUCUCUCUCUCUCUGCAAAUUUCAUCAGUGAAUCUCAUGGGGUUCUUCCUCGGUUGCUUUUGUCGGGAUGGUUGAUCCACCCUUUCAAGUGCUUUUCUUUUUCGGGGUCGAUGUAAGAACUGGCUCCUUCGUAUGUAGUGGAUUCAAUCGGUUUCACUGAUGUCGUGUAUGGGACGAGUUCGUUCGUGGUUAUGAAUGCUAAGAUAUGUUGUUGUCAAGAUAUUAUAAAGUUGAUUGCCAGAACUGAUACUCAGAAGAAAGCACCACCAGAAAACUGUACUACUCAUGGCUUGUGCAAUCUAGUCAAGUUGGCCCCCGUUUUUGUUAAUGUUCGAAAGGGCAGCCCAUAUCACUCGGCCGGGCAGUUGAGAUCUGAGCUCGAAGGCUCGACCCCUCUCUCCACUCAAAUCAGCUUUGAAUUUUGAAAUCUGAGCCCAACUCCAUUGACAGAGCGGUCCUCAAGCUAAGAAUUCAAUUGGGUUGCAAACUGCAUUGAAGAGAAGUGCAGUUUAGUGGAGACUUUAAGAGAUUGAUCUUUAAUUAUGAAAGUAAGAAUAGAUGCAGCAUCCUAUGUAGUAUGUAUACAUAUGGUUAAGAUUAAAAUUAAACAGAUUGAUAGGUUUGCGAGUGGUUUGAGCCUAUGCGAUUUUAAGCUCGAUCUCCGCUUAAUUUGAUGUUGGAGUUGCAGAUACUCGGGCUCAAUUGAAAUUCGAUAGUUAAUCAGUCAAGCUCCGGUGGCUCUCGGAAAAGAUGUGAUUUUUUUUUUCAAAGCAGAAAAAAAGAAAAUAAAAAGUAUAAGUGUCGCAAAUCCAAGGAUGCGAGGUUGUGAGAUUGGAGAAAGAAUAUUAGCAGAAAAGUGUCAAGAAAAGUCAUAAAGCCAUUGCAUUGGUGCCAACUUAAUCCUAAACCUUUUGAUUUGGUACAAAUUCAAUCAUAAAUCUUGCAAUGAUAUCAAUUUAGUCAUAGACCUUUUGAAAUAGUGUUAAUUUAGUUCUAAACCUUUUUGACUUGAUAUCAAUUCAGUUCUUGCGACUAAUUUUGGUUGGAUUUUACUAAUAUGGACACCAACCAGCUUAUGUGACACUAAUGACGCUAGCAUUGAUAAUUUUUAAUAAUAUUUUAAUUUUCUUUCUUUCUUUCUUUCUUUAGCUCUCAUUCAUUUCUUCUUCCUUUAGGUGGUGGCCAGCCAAUAACCACAAGCAAUGGCUAGGCAUGCUAGCCUCACUUGACUAUGAUGAGGCCAAGCCUCAGUGAGGCUAGCCCUUGCUUAGGCCAGGGCUACCUCAUCGGGCAUCACCUUCACUUGGGUGACGCCUGAUGAAGGGAGCCCUCAUAGGGGCCUAGCCUUGCCUUGCCUUGGCAUGGCUAGCCCGCCUAACCAUCACCUAUGGCUAGUGGUUGGCCACUGCCUAAAGGAAGAAGAAAUGAAUGAGGAAAAAAAAAAGAGAAAGAAAUCAUAAAAAAUAAAAAAAUAAAAAUUGCAAAAUUACUAAAAUAUUAUUAAAAAUUGUCCACAUUAGUACUUGUAGUACUACGUGAGCCGACCGGUGUUCAAGUUAGUGAAAUUAGGCCAAAAUUAGUAGUAGGACUAAAUUAGCAUUACUUCAAAAGAUUUAUGACUAAAUUGACAUCAUUAAAAAGUUAAGGACUGAAUUGGCACCAAAUCAAAAGUCUUAUGCCUAAAUUGAUACUAUUAAAAUUGGCACAAAUAUAGAAGUUUAGAACUUUUUUGACACUUUUCCCAAAUAUUUCCAUUUAUUUUGUAGAAAAUAAAUGAUUUGAAAAAUAUUUUCCUAAAAAAUGAUUAUUUGUAUCACUUGAAAUAACUUUUUAAUGAAAGAUGUUUUCAUCAUCAAUAAUAAUUUAUAUCUAUACAUUUUUCGAACAAUGAAGAUAUUUUCUGUUUAUUCAUUUUUGUAAAUAAUAUAAUCAAUUAUUUUUACAAAAAUAUUUUUCAAAUCAUUCAUUUUCGCAAAACAGACAUAUUCUCAUUAUGCUAUUGCCUCAUGUGACAUGUAUAAUCACAUCAAUCGAAAUUUUAUCUUACGGAUGGAUUUGAAUGGAUUGAACCGACCAGUGCAAUGGCAAUGGAGGGAAACAUGGGUAGUACCAAGAAUUCUGGUUCCUUGCUUUUUCAAAUAACAAUAAUUUGUUAAAUAAAUAAAAAAAUCGUUUAUUGAAUUGGAAAGAUUUGGAGUAUAAUUAACCUUGUUCAAAGCUUAUUUAGAUACCACAUCAUCCUUUAUUUUCUUAUUUGUAAUGAUAUAGUAUUUUUUGGGUUAGGUGAACGGUAACGAAGCAUUUUGAAUCAAUUCAUAAUUCUUCCUGCCAAAGAGUGCCGUAAUCUAAAACCGACGAGGAAGAAAGCGAGUAUGAUAAUUUUCCUCAAAUCAAGAAAAAGCUGGUGAAAUCAUAUGCAGCAUUACCCAAGAAAAGAACAAUUAUACACUGGUUGAUAAUCUUGAGAUACAUUAAGUUAGAUGGAUGGGGAUCUUGUGAGCACAAAUUCACCAUAAAAUGUAGUUUUCCAAAAGUAACUAAAAUUUCCUCAUACUUCAUGAAAAUUUACUCAAAGAUCUAGACCAAGCAAUGGCCACAUCAUGACGAGGUUCCAACGGCAGCAUUGAUGCCUCAUCAAGAUCUGGAGACUUGAGAGAAACUAGAAUGAAAUGAGCAGUUAUUUAUCGAAACAAGAAAGAGAGAGAAAUGUCAAGUUAUAUGUCAUGAAUUUCUUCAGUACCCUCAACAACAGCAACAAAAGAGAAAUUAUGUAAACUCUUUUUGUAGGUGUCCAAGUUAGGAUUAUGUUUCCAUCCAUCACCGAUCGGAGGAAACUUCCACUGGCCACUGUUUCGAUUGGCGAAUGAUUAUACUCGUGGACAUCGUCCACGUCUAUAUUCUACUAAGUUUGCAUGUUGAGAUGUCUACAAUUCACAACCUAACUAUCGGAUGUAUGGCUGAGGGUUGAGCUAACUAAACGGUCCAUUGAACUGAUUGCCGAUGCAUCAAAUGCAAUGCAGGUAAUAAUCUGAAGUGUCCCAAUUGAUUUGACUCCUGAAUACAUGGAGGAAGGCAGUUAUUGACGACAACCAACGACAACCAGCCACUAUUCUUAAACAUCCACAAUCCAACACGGAGGAAGGUAGACGGUUUCCUGGGAAACCUACUGUUUUCUCUAUCCUCGUGCGUCAACUAUCUAAACAUGGGCUUUUCAUGGCGAUCAGUUUAUCCUCAGAUCUCUCUUCUUUGGCUCUUCUUUUUCACCUCCUUUUCCUUUCUCUCCAUGGAUCUUCUCCAAACAAAUUGUUCAAUUUGAUAAUCACAGAUCUUGAUCCAUCCCGUUGACGAAAUAGGCCAGAGAGAGAAGAGAGAAGAUGGAGAAUCCCUCUCUGGGAGCCGGGCUAAUUGCUGUAUGCGCAGUCUCCGGCGGCGUGGUUCUUCUUUCGCUCCAACUCCACAAGUGUCUCCUCUCCGACUUCAUGAAAGAGAUUGAAUUCCACGUCCUUGGUACGCAAUACCUUCCUUUUUGCAGUUGUUAGCAUUGCAAAUGUCACAUUAAUGAUAUUUUCUGGUCAUCGACCGUGGCAUUUACCUUUAGCAACGAGAGCAUUUCAUUGUUGUUUAAAGGCUUAGAAUUUCGCGACGAAAUUUCAGUUUUGUUGCUAAGGGGUCUUUUAGCAACUACGCCGGCUGAUUUAGCUAAUCUUGUACCUCAUUUUGAGUCGUUUCACGAUGCCUUACGCCAUCCAUUCGCUAGGAACCAAGAAACACAAAGCGAAAAGGAGAUCAGCCCGGCGCCAGAACAACGCAACGAACCCAUCCCAGAAUGACGAUGGAUGUCCCACGAGAAGAAUCCCAAAGCCAGACAAAGGGCAUCGAUUUAAGAGCUCUGACCAAUGUGUAAUGGAGGAUCGCAACCUCGAAUUGGAAUCGAUGCCGGUUAACAGACAAAUGCUGUACCGGGGGAUUUUGCUGAACAAACACCUUAGAGGGCAUUUUGUACCUAGGCAUUUCUAGUAUAAAUGAUUUGAUGUGCGAUCGCCAUAUGGGUGUUCACCAGAAAACUGUCGCGAAUGCCAAACCCUCAACAGUAUAGUGCCGAUCUCCCGGGACAGCUUUAAUCUGCAAUUUUUCGAGUUACUCAACGGUCUUAAUAUCGAUAUUUAGACAUUUGCACCUGGAAAAAGGAAAAAGAACUUGACCUAUGCAUUCAAUAUGAAGUGAGACUAAAGUUGGUUAAAGAAGUGACAAUGAAGUUGCUGUUAAGAUUUUGAAUAAAUCAAAAGCUGAUGACCAAGAUUUUAGAAGCGAAGUGGCUACUAUUGGAAGGAUCCAAUAUGUUAAUGUGGCGCAAUUUGUUGGUUUUUGCUUCCACAACUUUAAACAAGCUCUUGUGUACGAUUUCAUGUCCAUCAGGUCCUUAGAUAAGCACAUCUUCUCUAAUGAUGUUGAUUAGUCUCUUGCUUUAAAAUUUAAUAAAAAAAAAAAAAAGUACGUGAGAUCUCUCUUGGUGUGGCGAGGAUAAUAUAAUAUUUACAUUGAGGAUAUGACAUGCAAAUUCUAUACUUUGACAUCAAUACUCACAAUAUUCUUCUAGAUCAAAAUUACACACCAAAAGUUUUUGUCUCAAGCUUGCAAGACUUCAUCCCAUAGACCUCAACAUAGUAUCCUUGACUGCUGGAAGAGAUGUGGCUCCUAAGCUAUUCUACAAGGACAUUAGUGGUGUCUCUUGUAAAGUUGAUGUUUAUAAUUUAGGAAUGUUACCAAUAAAAAUUGCUUAUAGGAGGAGAAAUGUAAAUGUAAAUGUUGAGUGCUCAAGUGAUAUUUAUUUAUCUUUAUGAGUUUAUGAUCAACUCAGUAAAGAAAAUGAAGUUGAAAUGGAAUACAUUGAACAGGAAGGAGAGAUAAUUAGGAAAAUGGAAAUAGUUGCUCUCUAGUGUAUGCAAUUAAUCCCCAUUGAUCAAAGUUCUGCACACGUUUGAAGGUGAUGUUGAUAAACUGUAAUUGCACCGAAACUGCUUUUGUAUAUAUCUAAAAAGAUAGUUGAUGAUGUCGACACUAAAAUAGAACAUGAAUCGUUCUCAACUUCAUCAAGUGCUUUGACCAUUUCCAAUGAAUAUUGACUUCAGUAUAACCAUUAAAUUACAAAUUCAUGCAUCGUUUGAUUUUCUUUUCUCCUUGUAUGAUUGAAAUGCAAAAUUUAGGUAGUUCCAGCAUAAGCAUAAUUGAUCAUGUAAUUCGUGAACCUAAAUGAUUUUAGCGUUCGAUCAUUCUUGUGUUUUGUAGAAGAAUUGCCUCAUGGUUACCUAUUUACAUUUCUAGUAUCCCGAGUGCUCUUGAUAGACCAAGCUUGUCUUGUGUGGAGCAACGAGCCUCUCUGCUUCUCUGCCCCGUCCAACAUCAAGCUCUCUUUCCUGCCAAAACCUCUCACCCUCGCCCCUUGACCGCCUCCUGACCACCCAUCACCUUCUCUCUCUUCCUCAAGUCCUGCAAUCGCUCCCGAGCACGGCGCGUCCAUCGUGCGCUCGCCCCAUCCCAAUUCGAGCUCGACUCAGUGAUUCUCAACUAGGACAUCGAUCUCUACUCGAAAUGCAAUGAAUGGCUGAAGAAAAGCGGAUUUUUAAGGACAUGUAUGAGGGACUUGGUUUCUCAGAUUUCCAUGAUUUCUUGUCAUGCCAAUAAUCACACAGAGUUCGAAGCGGUCAAUACUUUUGUUCACAUGCUUGAACAUGGUUUCCGAUAUGAUUAAGAAAGUCUUUAUAAAUGCACUUAGUAUGACAAGUUACUUGGUGAAUCUAUUCUGAUUGAUUACAAUUGGAUGUUGGACUCUUUAAGAAGUGUGGUCUACUAACAUUGCCGAUUAUUCUAUUCAUAAAAUAUUUGGUUGCUUAUGUUAUGUUCGAGUGAAUAAUAGUAAGCUCAACGUGUCAGAGAAUUCCUGUGUGGCAAUUAAAGUUGUAGGUAGAGUCGGUGCCUUAUUGAGGUCCACAGUUAUGAUUAAGUUCAAGUGUAGUAGCUUGGACUCAAAAGAUCUUUGUGGCGGUUGAACCCCUAAGAGAAUGUGGGAGAGUAGUAGUAAUUACGUUUCAAGAAAUCGAUUAUGACUUGACUCAAAUAUUAAGUAGGUGGAGAUUGUUAGAAAAUAUCUUGAAUUUGAGCCUAUAGACAAAAUUUCAAAUUCACAUAGGAGAUUUCGUAUUUGGGUUCCGGCAAUUAUCAAAUGGACAUCCAAAUUGGAUUGGACUAAGUAUCUCAACAAAAUAGGGAAAUCACUUUUUUCAUUAGAUUUAGAAGUGAACCACUAUUUCCUCAUUUUCUUGGAGACAUAUAUUCAUAUUCAAUCAUGUCUUUUAUGUCUUUAGGUUAUUUACGUGGAAAAUUCAACCAAGAGGGUGGUGAAUAAGUUGAUUCUCAAAACUUUAGAUUUUUUCAGGAACAACUCAAGUUAAUUUUGAUAGAUGUUGGAACAAUUUGAUUAUGUCAGAUUAAUGAUGCUUCUACGAGAUAAAUAAUGAAAUAAGUAGAGAGAUAGAAGGAGUUGCGAGCAAAUCUUAUAGUGAUUUAGCUUAGAUUAAGUCUACAUUCAUUCUCCCAAAAUAAUAGCAAUCAACAAGAUUGAAAGGGUGUGGCCCAAUUAGACCACAAUAGGACUUGGCCGAUCCCUUGGUCCUAGGACCCUACACUCUACAUUGUAUGGGUUGUUCCUCAAUUUUAGGACUUCCAGAGCAACUCUAUAUAUUACAUAUAUGAUUUAUACAAGAUAUAUCGUAUAUUUUAUAUUUUAUAUUUCUUUGUUUAUUCUAAAUCUUGGCGAUUUCACUUUUGUUAUUUCUUAUAUGGUUCUAUCGUGUAAAUUAUAUACCAAGCCUGGAAAAAGAAAAAGAAAUCCUCUUCACUCACCUUGCUCGCCGCUCAACUCUCUUCAUUGGCUCACUCGCCUCACGAGUGCAAUUCAACUGGUGAAAUCACUUGCCUCUCUUGGCCCGCCUCACAAACGUAGCUCAAUAAUUGCAAUGAUUUUUGUUGUUAUAUUAUCUUAGAUUUACAUUUGAUAUGUACUAAUAUUCAUAAUUUGGUUGGCCAAUGUCGCAUUAUUGAUGGAUAUGUAAUUUGAAAAUGCAUGUUUUUCCUUUCAAGAAAUACAAAAAAUGAAACAAACAAAAAAAAAAAUUGGUAGGUCUUAAAUUGACCUUGGAACCAGACCGAAUCGAUAGGGUCAGUUUGGUCCAGUCUUUGGUCAUAGGCUCAAUAGGGUCGGUCUCUAGUUCCAAAAAUUAAGGACCGAUACCAUGUGAGUUGGCCCUUGGGUUAAGUAUUGGACAGACUUGUGGCACCCCUCGACGGCCCCCAAUCCAUUAGGAUCGCCAUAGAUUUCUUGACACUCAUCCUACUUCAUACUAGUAAGGUAACCUUUAAAUUUUAGUGAAACCAUGGUUCAUAGAGGUUGAUUAGUAGAAUAUUUUUCCAUUUUUUUUUUGUAAAGGUCCCAGUGCAAUUCAUCAGUGGAAGCAUAAACAAGUCUCACCAUCUCUCCCUCCAAUAACAAUAACAAUAAUGCAAUGCACACCAACUACGCACCAGAAGAAAAGAUAAAGCCGAUUCACUUUUAUUUAUAUUUUCAUGAUGGACAUUUCGGGUCGAUGCAACAAAAAAGCCAAGAUUUUUAACUAUACUUGGCUAUACCCAAAAGAGAACUCGGGCCUAUAUGAAACAUGUACAUCCCUCCAUCGACAAGUGUCGGAUAUCCCAAAAAGAAAACGUCAGCUCCCACCAGUCCUACGUGCCAUCACACCCAACCCGGUGCAUCGGACGGUGGCAGCGGUAACAUCCCUAGCAUCACCCCUUUGCGUCGAACAUGAAUGGACAAAAACUCUUGAAUGAUAGGGCCAUCAACUGAACCCACGUUGUACAUCACCAAUACUCGAACUCGGACAUACUCCAGACCAAGUAUACUAAUACAGGAAUGUUUGGUGCACUCCACCUCGACGUCAGUAGGUAUGCCAUAGAAGGUACCACGCACAACUGGUGAAAGAGAUAUCUUUCUAAUCUGAAAUGUUAAUCCCCAAAAGAGAUUAGUACAACCAUUCAGCAAUAAAGAUUCACCAAACUACACAGUGCAUCAAAUAGAACAAUCAAGGUAUCAUGAAUAAAACACAUAUCAUUCAUGCAUUCAAGCAUACCUUACCUUGCAACAAUGCAUAUAUCACCAUGCAACGUGCAUAUACCACCAUGCACUUAUCAUCAAGCAAUCAUGCAUAUAUCACAAUGUCAUAUGUACACAUCCAUGCGCAUGAUACAAUCUCAAUUUUUAUCUUUCCAGGGACCAAUGUUUGCAUCCCUCAAUUUAUUGCUCACAUCCAACCUGGCAUCACGAGGAACCUCCGGCACACACCUCCAAGCAUCCGGCGCACACACUCCGGGCAUCUCGUACCCCAACUAGCAUCACGAGGUAUCCCCCGGCAAACACCUCCGAGACUUCUGGCACACACCUCCAGGCAUCUCGAAACUCUCGAGGACAUCCGGAACACACACUUUGGGCAUCCGACACACACACUCCGGGCAUCUCGAAACUCCCAGGCAUCGUCAGCUCACACCUUCAACGGUCUUGUUAUUAUCUCAAUUUAUAUUCACACAUGUAUCUCAAUUUUAACAUGGCAUUUGAUGCAUCAAUAUCAAGAGUCUCAACCAGCUUUUGAUGCCAUAUAACAUGUCAUAUGUCAUCACAUAUGCAACAAAAUCAACCGCUCAAAGCAUUGCAUCACAUGGAAAAAUUCAUUUAUUUUUGAAAACACAUCAAUUUUUUUAGAUAAAACAGAAUACACUCCUUUGGCUAAAACCCUAGGAAAAUUAGUGAAUAGUAUAAAUAAAUUCUGAAAUUUUGAUAUGUUAUAGACAAGUCCUAAGGGUAAAUAUCUCAUGAAGAAAUCGAAACCCAAAUCGUUCUACAUUAACAGAUAUAGACGAUUUAUUCCCCCUGUUCUCAGUGUCGUUUUUCCAGAUUAUCAUCUUUCAAAGGAAACUCGUUUCACCGAUCUACAUAUGUCUGUUUCUUCUAAAUUUUCAGUAUUUUAUACCUCAUAAUAUUACCUACAACUUUCAUUAAGAACACACGAUCAAAUUUUAAAUGUAUGAUUUUAUAAAAAUCACAGAAUCAUACUAGGUCGAGGUAGCAUUUUCCCAGAUCCAGUUUUUUCAAAGGACAACGAUUUCACCGACCUAUUUUUGUUCAUUUCCUCUAAAUUUUUGAUAUAUUUUACCUGAAGAAGUAAACUACAACUUUCAUUAAGAACUCAAAGUGAGAUUUUUGCAAGAAAACUACUUUACAGUCCACGAAAUCACUAAAGGUCAGCACAACAAAUUCCAGAUCUAAUCUCUCCAAAAGAAAAUCGUUUCACCAGACAAUCCUUGUCCGUUUUGUCUCAAAUUUGAGUAUGUUACUUUUCAAGAUGCUCUAUACAACUUUCAUUAAGAGAUUGAAGCGAGAUUCAAACUAAAAAGUCGCAUGCAGCUCACAAACUCGUGAAGGGUCGGACUGAUUUUUCCAGAAAACAGCAUGCUAGGCCAACGAAUUUCUUCCCAAAGCUUCGACCUUUCAUCACAUCCACCACAACCGAAAGUCACCAUCUUCUACACACACAUCACAGCAAGCAAAGGGUAGAUUUUAGGACUCUACUUGCCUCUAAUCCGAGCACAAACAGCAACAAAGAUGGCGAGAAAGGCAGCGAACGAACAGCAGCGAGCUAGGCGAACGAUCGGCGAACGGUCCUCCUUCUUCUCUCUCGCACACACGGUCUCUUUGUCUCUUCCUUUCUUCCUUUCCUUUCUCUCUUUCUCUCCUCUUUCUCUCGGACGACUCCCUCUCUUUCUCUCCCUUUCCUCGCUUAAUCGGCCCCCCCGCCCCCCAUCCUCUCUAAUUUCUUCCCCCUCAUGAUUAACAAUCAUUGAUCUUGCAUGCCAGCGCCACUUGACAAUUGCCAUGCAAGAUGGGCUUGUAUCCGGCUGGGCUUGGGCCAGCUUGGUCGAUGGCAACUCCUCCUCCUCCUUUGGGCUUUGCGGGCUAGGCCCAUAUGGCCGAAUGGUGGGUGAUCAUGGGCUGGGUUUUUGGGCCGGCUUGGCCUAAGAAUUUUUUGCCAACUCUUCUCUAAUUUAAUCGUCACCUAAUCUCUCAUCAUAUAAAUACUUAAUUUCCCUUAUUCACUUGGCCAUAAAACUUGAAAUCAUAAAUCAAUAAAUUCCAACUUAUAAAACACAUGGCCAAUAAUAGAAUUUUCUUUCCUAUCAAAUAAUUAUCCACUAAAAGCUUGGCCAUAAAUCUUAUUGCAAAUCAUGGAUUAAAUGGCUACAAUACCACUUGAUGGUACUUCCAUCAACUAUUCAUAGGCCUUAAUGUAUCUGGAGGUUGCCAUGAAUUUUGGGAUGCCACAAGACCCAACCCGGAUCAUGUUCACCCGUAAUUGGAAUUAACUAGUAAAUUCAAUACUUACAACAAAGCUAGUGUUCCUUCUACCAAAGUUGAUAGAUCCCACUACAAGUACACAAGCACCGCUAUCAAUACACAAGCAUUACUUACACACUUAAACACCUCGCAGAUCACAAUUACAAUCAACAGGAACUUUCAGCAUUUGUAGCUUUCUUGUUUUUCCAUCUAUUUUUAAGCUUGUAUAAAUCUACGAUAUAAUCUUGAAUCUCCAACUUAGUCGUUGGACUUAAUAAACGCAAUCAAGGGAAGAUUUGAUAGCUCAUAAAAUUGGAUCUUUUUGGUAAUAGCGAGAUUUCCUAAAAUAAAGUUGCUAUUUGUGUCGAUCGUCGGUUCCUUUGAUUGACCGAGUAAAAUAAGUAAUAAUUAAUUUGAUUUAAAUCCUGUUUUUCUUUCCAAAAAUCUAGGCCUAGAAUCUAAGCUUUCCAAUUCUUUUGACCAACGAAUUAAGUAAAAGGAAUAUCCAGAUCUUCCAAGUAAGAAUAGUGCAAAUGCUAUAACUUUUAUGCGGCACUCACUUGAGUGUCACAGCUUCUUCUUCUUUUUCACUCUCUUAGAUGCCAUAAAUUUGAAAAAUCGAUCAUUUGAAUAUCAUCACCGAUUUUCCUUACCAAAAAAUCCAACAUGAAUGCCGGUCGUCCUAUACAGCUUCAUUAAUUCUAACAUUGAAAGUUUUUUUUUUUUAAUUUUUUUUUGAAUUUUUUAUUUUUAUUUUUAUUUUGUCUUUUUUAGGGCUGGUGAGGGUCAUCAGUGACCUUCACUGGUUGUGAAACCCUCGCCCAACUCGAGCAAGGGCCUUCGCAGCUAAAGACGAGGCGGCCCUCACCCAAUAUGGGCAACCUUGCCAACCUUGAUAGAAAAAGGAAAAAUAAAAUUCAAAAAUUCAAAAAAUUCCGUGUUGGAUGGGAGAUUAAUAAAUAAAAAAUCGAUAUAGGAUGAUCUACAAGAAAUUACACUCAUAUGAUCGAUUUUACUCCAAUAUGGUACUUAAAUAAGCGAAAAAAUAGUUAUGGUACUCAUAAAAGGGUCGUACAAAAGUUAUAGCAUUUGCAUUGUUCUUCAUUCUAGAUCUUCAUAUCCAAUUAGGGUAAGCAAAUGAUAAAUGUAUUCAUCACAGUUGAUAAAAGGAGCUGCCUUUAUCAGCAAUUUAGUGAAUUUAUCCAGGCUUCCCCCUAGAAAUCGACUUUUGAACUAAGCGAGUACAUUAGCGAUCAUGACUUUACUCAGCUAUUUACAUCACUCAAAAUAAAAAUAAAAAACUGCAUUUAUUCAAUAAUAAUGAGAAAUAGAUGAUUUGUUAACUUCAAAAUAUCAUAGAAUGUUUUCCCAAUGUAAGUAAGGUAGAGUUUGUUAAGAUAUGAAAUCUUUUUUGAUUUAUCUUUUGAAUAUGAAAUCUUUUUGAUAUCUUUUUGAAUUUCAUAUUAGCAUACCAAUUAUAGAUGAGUAUACAAGAAUCAACUCUCUACCUCUCACGAAACUCACGUUCUGUUUCAGAAUUUUUGCAAGAACUUAAAGCCCUUGCCGAUGAAUUAGCAAUCAUUGACACUCCUACUUCUGAUGAUGAUUUAGUCAUUCAUGCACUUCGAGGACUUGGUGAGAACUUAUGAAAUCAAGAAUACAGAAGAUGAGGAUGAAGAACAAUAGCAGAUGAUCUGUGAAGAAGUUUUCGAUACUGUAUUUCUAUUCAUUUGAAGAGAUAGAAAAAUACAGCAGAAACUCUCUGAAUCAUUAUGUUCUUCUUAACCUUGAAUCGAUUACAAUACCUCUCUAUAUAUGGACAGAAAGCGGAAGACUAACUACUGGAAAAACGAACUAACUAACUUCAACUAACAAACUUUACAGCUGAAUAUAACAGAACUGUAAUCUUGAGACUUGGCAAUCCAUGUCUUUGACAUUUGUAUGAUCUCCACCGUUGAUGAAACUCGUUAUCCAUGAGUUAUCAAUUUCUUCAGCUCUUUUACUUCUUGAUUGCCUUCUGGUGAUCCACAUCUACCAUAGUCGAGGACCUCACCUCCUGUGGUUGAUUUCUCGAUAUUGCAGACUUGGCUUUUCGAUCUUGAUUCUCUAACAUUCCCCCUCAAAUUGGGAAGAGUAAAGGAUUUGAUUCCCAAUUUGGUUCGGAGAGUAAAAUGAGAUAAGCGGGAUAGUGACUUAGUAAAUAUAUCAGCUAAUUGUAGAUGAGUAGAGAUAUACUGAAUACGAAUAGAUCCAGAAGAGACUUUCUCACGGACAAAGUGAAAAUCAACUUCAAUGUGCUUGGUUCGAGCAUGUAAUAUUGGAUUGGCGGUGAGAGAAAUUGCUGAUUUGUUGUCACAAUAUAUAGUGGUAGGUGGCUGAAGAGAAAUCCCUAUAUCUCGUAGCACAAACGUGAUCCAGGUGAGUUCAGCAGUGGUCGAAGCAAGUGCACGAUACUCUGCUUCAGUUGAGGAUCUAGAAACAGUAGGUUGUUUCUUAGCAGACCAGGAUAGUAGAUUGGAUCCAAGAAACGUGCAAAAUCCUGUUGUGGAACGUCGUGUUGUUGGACAACCAGCCCAAUCCGCAUCAGAGAAACCAUAGAGAUGUACUGAACUUUGAGAAUGGAUGUAGAUUCCAAGAUGUACAGUACCUUUGACAUAUCGAAGUACUCUUUUUAAUUGAUGAAAAUCUCCUACAGUAGGCUGUUGCAUUUUUUGACAGAGAAGAUUAGUAGCAAAUGCCAGGUCUGGUCGAGUGAUGGUUAAGUAUUGAAGAGCACCAACUAAGCUUCUGUAUUCCAUAGGAUCUGUAAGUAGAUUUGCAGUGUCAGCCAUGGAGAUUGAUCGAAGAGGCAGAGGUGUUGAGACUAGUUUACAGUCGGCCAUAUAAGCUCGUUUCAACAAGUCAGUAGCAUAUUUAGUUUGACACAGAAAGAGAUUCUGUGAAGUUCGUUUGGCCUCAAUGCCCAAAAAAUAGUGAAUAUACCCAAGGUCCUUCAUAUGAAACUGAAGACUAAGUUUCUGAAUAAGGGCAGUUAAGAGAUGUGGUGAACUCCCAGUCAAGAUGAUAUCAUCAACAUAUAGGAGCAAUAGAAUUGUAUGUGAGUUUGUAUGCAAAACAAAUAACGAUGGAUCGGCUGUGCUGCAGAAGAAACCAUUUUCGAUUAAAAAUUUGCUGAAUUUAUCAAACCAAGCUCUUGGUGCUUGUCGAAGGCCAUAUAGAGACUUGUGAAGCAAACAGACAUGGCUUGGCUGAUAAGGAUUGAUAAAGCCAGGUGGCUGUUCCAUGUACACAGUCUCGUUCAAAUCUCCAUGAAGAAAGGCAUUCUUAACAUCAAGCUGGUAUAUUGGCCAGUGCCUUAUCAUAGCAAGAGAUAACACUAUUCGAAUUGUUGUGUGUUUCACAACUGGACUGAAAGUCUCAGUGAAGUCCAGUCCUUCUUCCUGGUGAAAGCCUUUGGCGACUAGACGAGCUUUGAGUCUGUCAAGACCACCAUCUUGUGUGAGUUUGGUCUUAUAGACCCACCUGCAGCCUAUUACAUUCAUCUGGUUAGUUCUAGGAAUCAAUGUCCAUGUUUGAUUUUCAGCAAGCGCAUCCAUCUCUUCUUUCAUAGCCCUAUACCAGGCUUGAUAGCUAAAGCUGACUGACAGAACUUUGGUUCCAUAGGAACUGGAUAAUCAGCUAAAUAAGCAUACUUGGAUUUGGUUUUCGAAUUCCAGACUUUAGUCGAGUCUGCAUAUGAUGAUUAUUACUUGUACCUUGAGAGGAAGAAAGAAUGGAAAUGGGAAUUGGAGUGCCUUUCAUUAGAACUACCUUCAGCUAGUAGAUCAUUGUGUGAAGAUAAAGAACUGGUAGUAUGUUGUCCUUGAGAAAUAGAAUAAUCUUGAGACACAGCAUCUAUAGAUUGUUCUUCUGUAAUUGUCUCAUCUUGCAUAUUCCUCGAGGAAAUGAUCUGAGAUUGUUGUCUGUGACAUGGAUGAUAAGUAUAGCAAUCAUGGAAAUCAGGAUGGAUCUGAUUUGUGACUGAUUGAUGAGUGGAUCCAAUAGCUGGUGACUCGGUGCUUGAUGACUCGAGAAAAUGUAUUCCUUCACUCCAUUGUUUGUAUAAGUUUGUAUAAUGUCCAUAUUCAUUGAUCAGCUUCUUUGUAAAAGGAUAGGAAUACUCAUCAAAGACAACAUGCCUACUGAUGUAUACACGAUUAUUAGUUGGGACCAAACAUCGAUACCCUUUGUGCUGAUUGCUAUAACCCAAGAAGAUACAGGGGAGAGAUCGAGGAUCAAGUUUAUGACUUGCAUACGGUCUUAAGCAAGGAUAGCAUGUACAGCCAAAUACUCUUAAAUGAUCAUACCUUGGCUGUCUAUUAUGAAGUUUGUUAUAAGGUGUGUCCAUCUGCAACUUUGGUGUGGGAAGAAUGUUGAUGAUGUAAUUAGCUGUCACAAAUGCAUCCACCCAAAAUUUCAGUGGAACUUUGGAGUGAUAGAGCAUAGCUAAUCCAAGUUCAACGAUGUGUCGAUGCUUUCUUUCGGAGACCCCAUUCUGUUCUGGAGUGUGAGAACAUGAUAUGAACUGUCUUAUUCCAUGGUGACUCAGAAAUUUUUGAAAUCUAAUGCUUACGAACUCUCCUCCUCCAUCACUCUGGAAGAUUUUAAUCUGAUGAUUAUACUGUCGUUCAACUAACUUCUGAAAUUGAACAAAUAUAUCAUAAAACUCAGAUUUCAACUUCAUGGGAUAUAGCCAGCAAUAUCGAGAGAAAUUGUCAACAAAAAUCACAUAAUAUCUAAACUUUUGAAAGGAACAGACUGGUGAUGGUCCCUAUAUGUCACAAUGAAUUCUUUCUAAUGGAGAACUUGAUGUAGAAUCCGAAAAAGGAAAUGAUAGAGCUGAACUUUUGGCUAUUUGACAGCUGCUGCAAACAACUUGAGAUGAUGAAACAAAUUGUAUAAGCUUCUGUUUUUGUAGAUGCUUAACUACUUGAGCAUUUGUAUGAGCCAAACGCUGAUGCCAUAUGUCUUCACCGACUGUCUUUUGCCGCUGAGUAAAGAAGGCUUCUGUGGUCUGUGGAUUAGCUUGAUAAAGACCUCUAAUUUUCCUUCCGGGCUUCACCAUUGUGUUGGUAUUGUUGUCCUUUACAUAAACACCAGUUUUGUCAAAGAUAAAGGAACAAGGGAAGUCAUCUGUGAGUUUAGAUACUGAAAGGAGAUUCUUCUUUAUCUCUGGGACAAUUAGAACAUCGUUCAGAGGUAAUGUAUUGUUCUUUGUUUUGAGCCAGGUGUUGCCAAUGUGAGUUACAGGUAAACAUGAUCCAUUGCCUAUCAUAACAGUAUCAUGUCCUUGAUAUUUAGAAAGAGUAUGGAGCAUACCAGGAUCAGCACUAAUGUGAGCUGUAGCUCCAGAGUCAGGAUACCACUCACUGCCUGUUGACUCUUCAAUAUGCAUUGCUGUCAAGGCUGCUGGAAUAUCUUCUACUUGAUAAGAAUUGUCAAACCGAUACCAGCAGCGAAGAGCAUCAUGUCCAGACUUUUUACAUAUUUGACACUCUAAUCGAAUGCUACUUGUUUCUUUUUCAUUCUGCAAAUUUUUACUAGAGUUUGCAGAAGGAUAAGUCUUGACAUUUUGGUACCUUUGUGAGUAAGUGGUAUAGGGUCUAAACCCUUGGUUUGUUGUAGGGAUAACAUUUCUCUGUCUAGGGUGUUGAUUUCCUUGCCCUGGACUGGAGAUAUCUGUUCUGUAAUUCUGAUAUCUUUCAAAACCACGACCCCUAUUGUUACCAGUUCUGCCACGACCAUAACUUCGACCACCUCUGUAUCCUCCUCUUUCAGAUACAAAUCCAGAAUCUUGAGAAAAGUAGUUUUCAUUUGUGAUAUCUUUAGACUGAACUUGAAACUGUCUUUGUCCAAAAUACGCCAAAUUCGGGUUGAACUGACUCCUGGAAAAGUUUUUGAGUCUUGAUUCAAACCUUUGUAAUUGAGCAAUAACCUCAUCAUACUCUGGCUGAGGCUUCAAACAAUAUAUGGUAGUCCGAAAGUUCUCAUACUCAGGACCUAAACCUUCCAAGACACCAAACAUCUUGGUUAUAUCAUCCACAGGUUUGCCUAUUGCAUUCAACUGAUCACAUAUGGAUUUAUAUUCCCUGAGAUAAUCAGCAAGGGUUUGUUCAUGCUUGUGACAUGUUUGCAGUUUCCCCCUUAAUUCGAACUCUCUAGCAAUUGAUUUUUGUGUAAAUCUUUUCAGAAGAGUUUGCCAUACUUCGGAUGAUGUUUCUAAUCCAAUUAUUAGGCUCAGAAUAUUUUCAGUAACAGCUCCAGAGAUCCAUGAUGAAAUCAACUUAUCUGUUCUAGUCCAGUCAGUGUGAUCUGGAUUAAUAAGAUCAGUUUCACAACCUUCAUCCUCUGUUUGCAGCAUUCGAGAGGGUGAAGUAAUAUCUCCAUUAACAAAACCAAACAGAUCUUGGCUUUUCAAAAACCUUUGGAUCUGAGCUUGCCACAAUAGGAAGUUGUCUUCAGCAAGUUUGAUUGUGACGAAGUUUGUGAUAUUCACAUGUAUCGGAAAAGGAUAUUUUGGAGUUCUAAUCGCCAUUAUUAUGAUUCUUUGAAGAAGAUGAUAACAGUAAUGCUUAUGAGCUCUAGGCCUGUAUGAGUUUACCUUGAUCCAGAGAGCUUCAGUGUUCGUUUACUUCUUCUGACUUGAUGCACGAACUGGUUACUCGAUAGAUUCUGUUCUGAUGCACGUCGAUCUUCCUGCUCUGAUCUUCCUGCUCUGAUACCAUGAGAACUUAUGAAAUCAAGAAUACAGAAGAUGAGGAUGAAGAACAAUAGCAGAUGAUCUGUGAAGAAGUUUUCGAUACUGUAUUUCUAUUCAUUUGAAGAGAUAGAAAAAUACAGCAGAAACUCUCUGAAUCAUUAUGUUCUUCUUAACCUUGAAUCGAUUACAAUACCUCUCUAUAUAUGGACAGAAAGCGGAAGACUAACUACUAGAAAAAUGAACUAACUAACUUCAACUAACAAACUUUACAGCUGAAUAUAACAGAACUGUAAUCUUGAGACUUGGCAAUCCGUGUCUUUGACAUUUGUAUGAUCUCCACCGUUGAUAAAACUCGUUAUCCAUGAGUUAUCAAUUUCUUCAGCUCUUUUACUUCUUGAUUGCCUUCUGGUGAUCCACAUCUACCAUAGUCGAGGACCUCACCUCCUGUGGUUGAUUUCUCGAUAUUGCAGACUUGGCUUUUCGAUCUUGAUUCUCUAACACUUGGAACUGAAUACAAAGAAAUCGCAGCAGCGAUUAGGGCUCGUGAAAAAGCUCACAAUUUGUGAAUGAUUUUUCAUAUCACUUAAUUUACAGAUUGUACACGCUUAUAAAGAGAAAGAAAAAUACAAUCUUUGAUAGAGCAAGAAUCAUGGAAUGCCAACUCAUCUACACUUGGUAUGAUAAUAUGAAAUUCAAAAAGAUAUCAAAAAGAUGUCAUAUUCAAAAAAUAAUAUCAAAAAAGAUUUCAUAUCUUAACAGGGCUUACGUGUGAAGUAUACCUUAAAGCAGUCCAAAACCGUUGAAGUUGAUCAAAUCUUGUGGGAAGGAUUUUGUGUGUGUGUGUGGGGUGAGUGUGUGUAUUGAGAGAUUAGUUCGAGAGAAAUUGUGAGGAUCGAGCAAUGUGUGAGAUAUUAUGUGUGAUUGAGGAUUAGGAAACACAAGAAGUGUUUAAAUAACUCAAGUAUAAUUGUAAUAUUUUUUUAUACCACUUGAUUUACAGUGGAAUAUUCUACUGGAUUUCCCAUGGAAUAUAUCGCAUUUGACUUAACCACAUAAAUCCAGCCUCCAAUCGAUAUAUUUCUUUGUUCAUUUAUUCUAUUGUUUGAUCUUUUUGUUUUCGCAACAAAAAGAGUAGAGUUAGUUACCAGGCGAUGUCUUCAAACGAACAAGACCUAAAAAUGUUGAUUUAGGCUCGUGAGAAGACGAACAGAGAAUCGACAAUUGAAGAAAUCGUUGGUACAUAUGUCCGAAUUAGCCAGGCUACUUUCGUUCUGUAGAAAAGAUCUCCAAAAAUAGAAAUAUAUACGUGAACAACUAUUUCGAAUAAAGGGCCAAAUCCCUUCUAGAUUACAAGAUAGGUUGCAGACGGUUCAGGCCCGUCGAUUUUUUGUUCAUGGAAUUGCCCGCACCACCUUUUUUCACUCGCCGACUUCCUUGCAUCGUCUUUCAACCGCCAUCAAACUAACCUUCUUCUUAUUCCUUCUCUGUCCAAACGUACGUGUGCUUCUCGUUAGGGUUUCCUCCCAUAUAAACCCAGCCCUUUCCUUCACAUGAACCCAGAAAAAAUACACCAGAAAAUCAAUAACCAAAUUCCCUCGCCGCACACCGCCUUCUUCAAUGGAUUCACCGAGCCAGAAACUAAUGAUAUCGCUCGUGUUUUGCCUUGCUGUCUUCUUCUCCGCAUCUUCAGCCAGUGCAGAAUCCGUGCUGGUACGCGAGCUUUGCAGGGCAACCAAAGUUAACCCAGAAUGCGUCGCCGCUCUAAACCCUGACCCACGGGCUGCAAAAGCGACUUCACAUCUUUCUCUCGGUGAAAUCGCUUUGCAAAUAGCGGCGGAGAACACUACCAAGAGGCAGGAGUUAUUGGACCAAAUGCUUGUGGACCCAAACACGACAUCUUCAUGGAAGCCGGUGCUCAAGACUUGUAAGGCUCACUUCGAAACUGCGGCCAGGCAGUUCUCAACUGCAAGUCGCGAACUUGGAUUGGACGCAAUGUCUGCAAAUUAUGAUGUCUGGAUGGCCUCCGACGAAAUCGACGCCUGCUUGGCGUUCAUGAGAAUUUCCAAGCAGGACAUUCCACCGUUAGUUACCAGUUGCAAUUAUGUUAAAACUCUCGUUUCCAUUGGUGAUGCCAUCACCAAUAGGUGGUAACGACGAGCAUGGAUUGAAAUUUCUAUGAUAAUGUGGAGCGAGGGGGAAUUAUAUUUCUGUAACAACGAUUUCUUGUCGAAUGCUUGCGCUGUACGUGCAAUUGCUGCAAUAAAAUUUUGAUUUAGCAACAUAUAUGUGGUGUUGUCCAACCAAUUAGAAAAUAGAGCAAAAGCAGCCAUUUUUACAGCUUCUCUCUAAUUUGGUGGAUUAUAUUUCUGUAACAAUGAUUUUCUUGUUGAAUGCUUAGUACAUGCAAUUGCUACAAGAAUAUUUCUAUAUAGCAACAUUUCUGUGGUGGUGUCUAACCAGUUAGAAAAUAGAGCAAAAGCAGCCAUUUUGGCAGCUUCUCUCUUAUUUGGCGGAUUAUAUUUCUGUAACAAUGAUCUUCUCGUUGAAUGCUUAGUAGAUGCAAUUGCUACAAGAAUAUUUCUAUUUAGCAACAUUUCUAUGGAAUUGUCCAACCAGUUAGGAAAUAGAGAAAAAGCAGCCAUUUUUGCGGCUUCUCUCUAAUUUGGUACAAACAAACAAAGAUUACUCGUUUGAUGUAAUGAUUCCAACUCUUUUCCAAAGAAACCUUAAAUCACAGUAUGAUCAUAAUAUCCUAGCAAAGAAUAGUAUCAAAUUUGGUUCGUUUAUUUUAGUUUUUAUUUUUUAUAAAACAACUAUUCACUGCCUAAAGAAUGACCAAAAAAAGUAUCGAAGUACGCUUCUCCUUUGGCAAAAGCCAUUUUGCCCCAAGAUUUUGGUGGAUUUGUGAUGGUAUGUAUGAAUUUAGGAUUUUGUGUAAUAUGAUUUUUCAAGUAAAUAUGAUGCGGGUAUGCUGGUUAGAGAUAAUAACUGAUAAGAUUGAUAAUAUUACUGGUAAACCAUCGGAAGAUUACUUUUUUUCAUUAGAUUUAGAAGUGAACCACUAUUUCCUCAUUUUCUUGGAGACAUAUAUUCAUAUUCAAUCAUGUCUUUUAUGUCUUUAGGUUAUUUAGGUGGAAAAUUCAACCAAGAGGGUGGUGAAUAAGUUGAUUCUCAAAACUUUAGAUUUUUUCGGGAACAACUCAAGUUAAUUUUGAUAGAUGUUGGAACAAUUUGAUUAUGUCAGAUUAAUGAUGCUUCUACGAGAUAAAUAAUGAAAUAAGUAGAGAGAUAGAAGGAGUUGCAAGCAAAUCUUAUAGUGAUUUAGCUUAGAUUAAGUUAGAUUAAGUCUACAUUCAUUCAUUCUCCCAAAGUAAUAGCAAUCAACAAGAUUGAAAGGGUGUGGCCCAACUAGACCACAGUAGGACUAGGCCGGUCCUUGGUCCUAGGACCCUGCACUCUACAUUGUAUGGGUUAAUCCUCAAUUUUAGGACUUCUGGAGCAACUCUAUAUAUUACAUAUAUGAUUUAUACAAGAUAUAUCAUAUAUUUUAUAUUUUAUAUUUCUUUGUUUAUUCUAAAUCUCGGCGCCUCCACUUUUGUUAUUUCUUAUAUGGUUCUAUCGUGUAAAUUAUAUACCAAGCCUGGAAAAAGAAAAAGAAAUCCUCUUCACUCACCUUGCUCACCGCUCACCUCUCUUCAUUGGCUCACUCGCCUCACGAGUGCAAUUCAAAUGGUGAAAUCACUCGCCUCUCUUGGCCCGCCUCACAAAUGUAGCUCAAUAAUCGCAAUGAUUUUUUUUGUUAUAUUAUCUUAGAUUUACAUUUGAUAUGUACUAAUAUUCAUAAUCCGGUUGGCCAAUGUCGCAUUAUUGAUGGAUAUAUAAUUUGAAAAUGCAUGUUUUUCCUUUCAAGGAAUACAAAAAAUGAAAAAAAAAAAAAAAAAAAUUGGUAGGUCUUAAAUUGACCUUGGAACCAGACCGAAUCGAUAGGGUCAGUUUGGUCCAGUCUUUGGUCAGAGGCUCAAUAGGGUCGGUCUCUAGUUCCAAAAAUUAAGGACCGAUACCAUGUGAAUUGGCCCUUGGGUUAAGUACUCGACAGACCCAACCCGGAUCAUGGAUCAUGCUCACCCGUAAUUGGAAUUAACUAGUAAAUUCAAUACUUACAACAAAGCUAAUGUUCCUUCUACCAAAGUUGAUAGAUCCCACUACAAGUACACAAGCACCGCUAUCAAUACACAAGCAUUACUUACACACUUAAACACCUCGCAAAUCACAGUUACAAUCAAUAGGAACUUUCAGCAUUUGUAGCUUUCUUGUUUUUCCAUCUAUUUUUAAGCUUGUAUAAAUCUACUAUAUAAUCUUGAAUCUCCAACUUAGUCGUUGGAAUUAAUAAACGCAAUCACGGGAAGAUUUGAUAGCUCAUAAAAUCGGAUCUUUUGGUAAUAGCGAGCUUUCCGAAAAUAAAGUCGCUAUUUGUGUCGAUCGUGGGUUCCUUUGAUUGACCGAGUAAAAUAAGUAAUAAUUAAUUUGAUUUAACUCCAUUUUUUCUUUCCAAAAUUCCAGGCCUAAAAUCUAAGCUUUCCAAUUCUUUUGACCAACAAAUUAAGUCAAAGGAAUAUCCAGAUCUUCCAAGUAAGAACAGUGCAAAUGCUAUAACUUUUAUGCAACACUCACUUGAGUGUCACAGCUCUCUUUUUUUUUCGCUCUCUUAGAUGCCAUAAAUUUGAAAAAUCGAUCAUUUGAAUAUCAUUACCGAUUUGCCUUGCCAAAAAAUCCAACAUGAAUGCCGGUCAUCCUAUACAGCUUCAUUAAUUCUAACAUGGAAUUUUUUUUAUCUUUUUAAUUAUUUAUUUUUAUUUUUAUUUUGUCUUUUUUAGGGCUGCUGGUGAGGGUUAUCGGCGACCUUCACUGGUUGUGAAACCCUCGCCCAAUUCGAGCAAGGGCCUUCACAGCUAAAGACGAGGCAACCCUCACCCAAUAUGGGCAACCUUGCCAACCUUGAUAGAAAAAGGAAAAACAAAAAUAAAAUAAAAUAAAAAAUUCAAAAAUUCCGUGUCGGAUGGGAGAUUAAUAAAAAAAAAAAUCGAUAUAGGACGAUCUACAGGAAAUUACACUCAUAUGAUCGAUUUUACUCCAAUACGGUACUUAAAUAAGCGAAAAAAUAGUUAUGGUACUCAUAAUAGGGUCAUACAAAAGUUAUAGCAUUUGCGUUGUUCUUCUUUCUAGAUCUUCAUAUCCAAUUAGGGUAAGCAAAUGAUAAAUGUAUUCAUCACAGUUGAUAAAAGGAGCUGCCUUUAUCAGCAAUUUAGUGAAUUUAUCCAAGCUUCCCCCUAGAAAUCGACUUUUGAACUAAGCGAGUACAUUAGCGAUCAAGACUUUACUCAGCUAUUUACAUCACUCAAAAUAAAAAUAAAAAUAAAAAUCUGCAUUUAUUGAAUAAUAAUGAGAAAUAGAUGAUUUGUUAACUUCAAAAUAUCAUAGAAUGUUUUCCCAAUGUAAGUAAGGUAGGGUUUGUUAAGAUAUGAAAUCUCUUUUGAUAUAACUUUUGAAUAUGAAAUCUUUUUGAUAUCUUUUUGAAUUUCAUAUUCGCAUACCAAUUGUAGAUGAGUUGGCAUUCCAUGAUCCUUGCUCCGUCAAAGAUUGUAUUUCUAUCAAAUCUCUACCGCUCGCCGAAACUCACGNNNNNNNNNNNNNNNNNNNNNNNNNNNNNNNNNNNNNNNNNNNNNNNNNNNNNNNNNNNNNNNNNNNNNNNNNNNNNNNNNNNNNNNNNNNNNNNNNNNNNNNNNNNNNNNNNNNNNNNNNNNNNNNNUCGCAGCAGCGAUUAGGGCUGGUGAAAAAGCUCAAAAUAUGUGAGUGAUUUUUCAUAUCACUUAAUUUACAGAUUGUACACGCUUAUAAAGAGAAAUAAAAAUACAAUCUUUGAUAGAGCAAGAAUCAUGGAAUGCCACCUCAUCUACACUUGGUAUGAUAAUAUGAAAUUCAAAAAGAUAUCAAAAAGAUUUCAUAUUCAAAAAAUAAUAUCAAAAAAGAUUUCAUAUCUCAACAAGGCUUACGUACCUUAAAGCAAUCCAAAAGCGUUGAAGUUGAUCAAAUCUUGUGGGAAGGAUUUUGUGUGCGUGUGUGGGGUGAGUGUGUGUAUUGAGAGAUUAGUUCGAGAGAAAUUGUGAGGAUCGAGCAAUGUGUGAGUUAUUAUGUGUGAUUGAGGAUUAGGAAACACAAGAAGUGUUUAAAUAACUCAAGUAUAAUUGUAAUAUUUUUUUAUACCACUUGAUUUAUAGUGGAAUAUUCUACUGGAUUUCCCAUGGAAUAUAUCACAUUGACUUAACCACAUAAAUCCAGCCUCCAAUCGAUAUAUUUCUUUGUUCAUCUAUUCUAUUGUUUGAUCUUUUUGUUUUCCCAACAAAAAGGGUAGAGUUAGUUACCAGGCGAUGUCUUCAAACGAAUAAGUAGUUACCAGGCGAUGUCUUCAAACGAAUAAGUAGUUACCAGGCGAAGUCUUCAAACGAACAAGACCUAAAAAUGUUGAUUUAGGCUCGUGAGAAGACGAACAGAGAAUCGACAAUUGAAGAAAUCGUUUGUACAUAUGUCCGAAUUAGCCAGGCUACUUUCGUUCUGUAGAAAAGAUCUCCAAAAAUAGAAAUAUAUACGUGAACAAUUAGUUCGAAUAAAGGGCCAAAUCCCUUCUAGAUUACAAGAUAGGUUGCAGACGGUUGCCGGUCGUUUUUUUGUUCACGGAAUUGCCCGCACCACCUUUUUUCACUCGCCGACUUCCUUGCAUCGUCUUUCAACCGCCAUCAAACUAAUCUCCUUCUUAACCCUUCUCUGUCCAAACGUACGUGUGCUUCUCGUUAGGGUUUCCUCCCAUAUAAAACCAGCCCUUUCCUUCACAUGAACCCAGAAAAAAUACACCAGAAAAUCACUAACCAAAUUCCCUCGCCGCGCACCGCCUUCUUCAAUGGAUUCACCGAGCCAGAAACUAAUGAUAUCGCUCGUGUUUUGCCUUGCUGUCUUCUUCUCCGCAUCUUCAGCCAGUGCAGAAUCCGUGCUGGUACGCGAGCUUUGCAGGGCAACCAAAGUUAACCCAGAAUGCGUCGCCGCUCUAAACCCUGACCCACGGGGUGCAAAAGCGACUUCACAUCUUUCUCUCGGUGAAAUCGCUUUGCAAAUAGCGGCGGAGAACACUACCAAGAGGCAGGAGUUAUUGGACCAAAUGCUUGUGGACCCAAACACGACAUCUUCAUGGAAGCCGGUGCUCAAGACUUGUAAGGCUCACUUCGAAACUGCGGCCAUGCAAUUCUCAACUGCAAGUCGCGAACUUGGAUUGGACGCAAUGUCUGCAAAUUAUGAAGUCUGGAUGGCCUCCGACGAAAUCGUCGCCUGCUUGGCGUUCAUGAGAAGUUCCAAGCAGGACAUUCCACCAUUAGUUACCAGUUGCAAUUAUGUUAAAACUCUCGUUUCCAUUGGUGAUGCCAUCACCAAAAGGUGGUAACGACGAGCAUGGAUUGAAAUUUCUAUGAUAAUGUGCAGCGAGAGGGAAUUAUAUUUCUGUAACAACGAUCUUCUUGUCAAAUGCUUGCGCAGUACGUGCAAUUGCUGCAAUAAAAUUUUGAUUUAGCAACAUAUAUGUGGUGUUGUCCAACCAAUUAGAAAAUAGAGCAAAAGCAGCCAUUUUUACAGCUUCUCUCUAAUUUGGUGGAUUAUAUUUCUGUAAACAAUGAUCUUCCCGUUGAAUGCUUGCGCAGUACGUGCAAUUGCUACAAGAAUAUUUCUAUUUAGCAAUAUAUUUGUGGUGGUGUCCAACCAAUUAGUAAAUAGAGCAAAAGCAACCAGUUUUGCAGCUUCUCUCUAAUUUGGUGGAUUAUAUUUCUGUAACAAUGAUCUUCUUGUUGAAUGCUUAGUACAUGCAAUUGCUACAAGAAUAUUUCUAUAUAGCAACAUUUCUGUGGUGGUGUCUAACCAGUUAGAAAAUAGAGCAAAAGCAGCCAUUUUUGCAGCUUCUCUCUUAUUUGGCGGAUUAUAUUUCUGUAACAAUGAUCUUCUCGUUGAAUGCUUAGUAGAUGCAAUUGCUACAAGAAUAUUUCUAUUUAGCAAUAUUUCUAUGGAAUUGUCCAACCAGUUAGAAAAUAGAGAAAAAGCAGCCAUUUUUGCGGCUUCUCCCUAAUUUGGUACAAACAAACAAAGAUUAAUCGUUUGAUGUAAUGAUUCCAACUCUUUUCCAAAGAAAUCUUAAAUCACAGUAUGAUCAUAAUAUCCUAGCAAAGAAUAGUAUCAAAUUUGGUUCGUUUAUUUUAGUUUUUAUUUUUCAUAAAACACCUAUUCACUGCCUAAAGAAUGACCAAAAAAAGUAUCGAAGUACGCUUCUCCUUUGGCAAAAGCCAUUUUGCCCCAAGAUUUUGGUGGAUUGGUGAUGGUAUGUAUGAAUUUAGGAUUUUGUGUAAUAUGAAAAAUUAAUUUUGAGUAAAUAUGAUGCGGGUAUGCCGGUUAGAGAUAAUAACUUAUAAGUUUGAUAAUAUUACUGGCAAACCAUCAGAAGAUUACUUUUUUCAUUAGAUUUAGAAGUGAACCACUAUUUCCUCAUAUUGCUGGAGACAUAUAUUCAUAUUCAAUCAUGUCUUUUAUGUCGUUAGGUUAUUUAGGUGGAAAAUUCAACCAAGAGGGUGGUGAAUAAGUUGAUUCUCAAAACUUUAGAUUUUUUCAGGAACAACUCAAGUUAAUUUUGAUAGAUGUUAGAACGAUUUGAUUAUGUCAGAUUAAUGAUGCUUCUACGAGAUAAAUAAUGAAAUAAGUAGAGAGAUAGAAGGAGUUGCAAGCAAAUCUUAUAGUGAUUUAGCUUAGAUUAAGUCUACAUUCAUUCUCCCAAAGUAAUAGCAAUCAACAAGAUUGAAAGGGUGUGGCCCAACUAGACCACAGUAGGACUAGGCCGGUCCUUGGUCCUAGGACCCUGCACUCUACAUUGUAUGGGUUGUUCCUCAAUUUUAGGACUUCCGGAGCAACUCUAUAUAUUACAUAUAUGAUUUAUACAAGAUAUAUCAUAUAUUUUAUAUUUUAUAUUUCUUUGUUUAUUUUAAAUCUUGGCACCUCCACUUUUGUUAUUUCUUAUAUGGUUCUAUCGUGUAAAUUAUAUACCAAGCCUGGAAAAAGAAAAAGAAAUCCUCUUCACUCACCUCUGCUCCCCCGCUCACCUCUCUUCACCCCGCUCCACUCGCCUCACGAGUGCAAUUCAAUUGGUGAAAUCACUCGCCUCUCUUGGCCCGCCUCACAAAUGUAGCUCAAUAAUCGCAAUGAUUUUUGUUGUUAUAUUAUCUUAGAUUUACAUUUGAUAUGCACUAAUAUUCAUAAUUUGGUUGGCCAAUGUCGCAUUAUUGAUGGAUAUAUAAUUUGAAAAUGCAUGUUUUUCCUUUCAAGGAAUACAAAAAAUGAAACAAAAUAAAUAAAUAAUUGGUAGGUCUUAAAUUGACCUUGGAACCAGACCGAAUCGAUAGGGUCAGUUUGGUCCAGUCUUUGGUCAUAGGCUCAAUAGGGUCGGUCUCUAGUUCCAAAAAUUAAGGACUGAUACCAUGUGAAUUGGCCCUUGGGUUAAGUACUCGACAGACCCAACCCGGAUCAUGCUCAUCCGUAAUUGGAAUUAACUAGUAAAUUCAAUACUUACAACAAAGCUAAUGUUCCUUCUACCAAAGUUGAUAGAUCCCACUACAAGUACACAAGCACCACUAUCAAUUUGAUACAAAUUUAUAUUUUUUGGGAAUUAGUUGGAAUGUGUUCUUAUUUAUUAAUAGGUUUUUGGUUCACACGACCUAGUGCGGCUGUAUCCAAACUAAUACCAAUUCAACCCAUUUCAUGAAAAAAAUGUGACCAAUUAACCAACCAACAAAACUACUUGUUACAAAUAACAUCUUGUUGUUGCAUCGAAACAUAUAAAUGUUGACUAAUCUGGCUAACAUUGAACUUGGUAAAAUGAAAUCAAUAUAAAUAUUAGUUCUAAUAAAAUAAGUUAUCCUACUAAACUAUUAGCAUCAAUAAAAAAUAUUUGGCAGGACUUGAACCAGAGACCUCGCCCGUGAAGUAAAUCAUCGCACCUCCGGUCCAACCAAUUGGGAGAGAAUCAAUAGAUUCCUUUUCGGGAGCGAUUCAUCCCGAACGCAGCAUACAACUCUCCGGAAUUAACUAGUAAAUUCAAUACUUACAACAAAGCUAAUGUUCCUUCUACCAAAGUUGAUAGAUCCCACUACAAGUACACAAGCACCACUAUCAAUACACAAGCACUACUUACACACUUAAACACCUCUCAGAUCACAGUUACAAUCAACAGGAACUUUCAGCAUUUGUAGCUUUCUUGUUUUUCCAUCUAUUUUUAAGCUUGUAUAAAUCUACUAUAUAAUCUUGAAUCUCCAACUUAGUCGUUGGGCCCCAGUGGCCACCCUUCCAACUUGGAAGGGGGAGGUGAGGGGUUCAAAUCCCCACCUUCUCAGGGGGGAUGGGGGGUAGGGACGCGUACGUUUCGAGAGUGGGUUGCGACUCCCACGCCCUGCAAGAGGUAGGGCACAAGUCUGCGAGUGAGUGUAGAGUAGGCAUAGAGUAGGACUGACCAAAAAAAAAAAAACUUAGUCGUUGGAAUUAAUAAACGCAAUCACGGGAAGAUUUGAUAGCUCAUAAAAUCGGAUCUUUUUGGUAAUAGCGAGCUUUCCUAAAAUAAAGUCGCUAUUUGUGUCGAUCGUCGGUUCCUUUGAUUGACCGAGUAAAAUAAGUAAUAAUUAAUUUGAUUUAACUCCAUUUUUUCUUUCCAAAAUUCCGGGCCUAGAAUCUAAGCUUUCCAAUUCUUUUGACCAACGAAUUAAGUCAAAGGAAUAUCCAGAUCUUCCAAGUAAGAACAGUGCAAAUGCUAUAACUUUUAUGCGGCACUCACUUGAGCUUCUUUUUUUUUUUUCACUCUCUUAGAUGCCAUAAAUUUGAAAAAUCAAUCAUUUGAAUAUCAUUACCGAUUUGCCUUGCCAAAAAAUCCAACAUGAAUGCCGGUCAUCCUAUACGGCUUCAUUAAUUCUAACAUGGAAAUUUUUUUAUAAAUUUUAAUUAUUUAUUUUGAAUUAUUUAUUUUUAUUUUUAUUUUGUCUUUUUUAAGGCUGGUGAGGGUCAUCGGCGACCUUCACUGGUUGUGAAACCCUCGCCCAAUUCGAGCAAGGGCCUUCUCAGCUAAAGACGAGGCAGCCCUCACCCAAUAUGGGCAACCUUGCCAACCUUGAUAGAAAAAGGAAAAACAAAAACAAAAACAAAAAUUCAAAAAAAUAAGUAAAAAAUUCAAAAAUUCCAUGUCGGAUGGGAGAUUAAUAAAAAAAAUCGAUAUAGGAUGAUCUACAGGAAAUUACACUCAUAUGAUCGAUUUUACUCCAAUACGGUACUUAAAUAAGCGAAAAAAUAGUUAUGGUAUUCAUAAUAGGGUCAUACAAAAGUUAUAGCAUUUGCGUUGUUCUUCUUUCUAGAUCUUCAUAUCCAAUUAGGGUAAGCAAAUGAUAAAUGUAUUCAUCACAGUUGAUAAAAGGAGCUGCCUUUAUCAGCAAUUUAGUGAAUUUAUCCAAGCUUCCCCCUAGAAAUCGACUUUUGAACUAAGCGAGUACAUUAGCGAUCAAGACUUUACUCAGCUAUUUACAUCACUCAAAAUAAAAAUAAAAAUAAAAUCUGCAUUUAUUGAAUAAUAAUGAGAAAUAGAUGAUUUGUUAACUUCAAAAUAUCAUAGAAUGUUUUCCCAAUGUAAGUAAGGUAGGGUUUGUUAAGAUAUGAAAUCUGUUUUGAUAUAUCUUUUGAAUAUGAAAUCUUUUUGAUAUCUUUUUGAAUUUCAUAUUAGCAUACCAAUUGUAGAUGAGUUGGCAUUCCAUGAUCCUUGCUCCGUCAAAGAUUGUAUUUCUAUCAAAUCUCUACCGCUCGCCGAAACUCACGUUCUGUUUCAGAAUUUUUGCAGGAACUUAAAGCCCUUGCCAAUGAAUUAGCAAUCAUUGACACUCCUAUCUCUUAUGAUGAUUUAGUCAUUCAUGCACUUCGAGGACUUGGAACUGAAUACAAAGAAAUCGCAGCAGCGAUUAGGGCUCGUGAAAAAGCUCACCAUUUGUGAAUGAUUUUUCAUAUCACUUAAUUUACAGAUUGUACACGCUUAUAAAGAGAAAUAAAAAUACAAUCUUUGAUAGAGCAAGAAUCAUGGAAUGCCAACUCAUCUACACUUUGGUAUGAUAAUAUGAAAUUCAAAAAGAUAUCAAAAAGAUUUCAUAUUCAAAAAAUAAUAUCAAAAAAGAUUUCAUAUCUCAACAGGGCUUACAUACCUUAAAGCAAUCCAAAAGCGUUGAAGUUGAUCAAAUCUUGUGGGAAGGAUUUUGUGUGCGUGUGUGGGGUGAGUGUCUGUAUUGAGAGAUUAGUUCGAGAGAAAUUGUGAGGAUCGAGCAAUGUGUGAAUUAUUAUGUGUGAUUGAGGAUUAGGAAACACAAGAAGUGUUUAAAUAACUCAAGUAUAAUUGUAAUAUUUUUUUAUACCACUUGAUUUAUAGUGGAAUAUUCUACUGGAUUUCCCAUGGAAUAUAUCACAUUGACUUAACCACAUAAAUCCAGCCUCCAAUCGAUAUAUUUCUUUGUUCAUCUAUUCUAUUGUUUGAUCUUUUUGUUUUCCCAACAAAAAGGGUAGAGUUAGUUACCAGGCGAUGUCUUCAAACGAAUAAGUAGUUACCAGGCGAUGUCUUCAAACGAAUAAGUAGUUACCAGGCGAAGUCUUCAAACGAACAAGACCUAAAAAUGUUGAUUUAGGCUCGUGAGAAGACGAACAGAGAAUCGACAAUUGAAGAAAUCGUUUGUACAUAUGUCCGAAUUAGCCAGGCUACUUUCGUUCUGUAGAAAAGAUCUCCAAAAAUAGAAAUAUAUACGUGAACAAUUAGUUCGAAUAAAGGGCCAAAUCCCUUCUAGAUUACAAGAUAGGUUGCAGACGGUUGCCGGUCGUUUUUUUGUUCACGGAAUUGCCCGCACCACCUUUUUUCACUCGCCGACUUCCUUGCAUCGUCUUUCAACCGCCAUCAAACUAAUCUCCUUCUUAACCCUUCUCUGUCCAAACGUACGUGUGCUUCUCGUUAGGGUUUCCUCCCAUAUAAAACCAGCCCUUUCCUUCACAUGAACCCAGAAAAAAUACACCAGAAAAAAUACACCAGAAAAUCACUAACCAAAUUCCCUCGCCGCGCACCGCCUUCUUCAAUGGAUUCACCGAGCCAGAAACUAAUGAUAUCGCUCGUGUUUUGCCUUGCUGUCUUCUUCUCCGCAUCUUCAGCCAGUGCAGAAUCCGUGCUGGUACGCGAGCUUUGCAGGGCAACCAAAGUUAACCCAGAAUGCGUCGCCGCUCUAAACCCUGACCCACGGGCUGCAAAAGCGACUUCACAUCUUUCUCUCGGUGAAAUCGCUUUGCAAAUAGCGGCGGAGAACACUACCAAGAGGCAGGAGUUAUUGGACCAAAUGCUUGUGGACCCAAACACGACAUCUUCAUGGAAGCCGGUGCUCAAGACUUGUAAGGCUCACUUCGAAACUGCGGCCAUGCAAUUCUCAACUGCAAGUCGCGAACUUGGAUUGGACGCAAUGUCUGCAAAUUAUGAAGUCUGGAUGGCCUCCGACGAAAUCGUCGCCUGCUUGGCGUUCAUGAGAAGUUCCAAGCAGGACAUUCCACCAUUAGUUACCAGUUGCAAUUAUGUUAAAACUCUCGUUUCCAUUGGUGAUGCCAUCACCAAAAGGUGGUAACGACGAGCAUGGAUUGAAAUUUCUAUGAUAAUGUGCAGCGAGGGGGAAUUAUAUUUCUGUAACAACGAUCUUCUUGUCAAAUGCUUGCGCAGUACGUGCAAUUGCUUCAAUAAUAUUUUGAUUUAGCAACAUAUAUGUGGUGGUGUCCAACCAAUUAGAAAAUAGAGCAAAAGCAGCCAUUUUUACAGCUUCUCUCUAAUUUGGUGGAUUAUAUUUCUGUAACAAUGAUCUUCCUGUUGAAUGCUUGCGCAGUACGUGCAAUUGCUUCAAGAAUAUUUCUAUUUAGCAAUAUAUUUGUGGUGGUGUCCAACCAAUUCGUAAAUAGAGCAAAAGCAACCAGUUUUGCAGCUUCUCUCUAAUUUGGUGGAUUAUAUUUCUGUAACAAUGAUCUUCUUGUUGAAUGCUUAGUACAUGCAAUUGCUACAAGAAUAUUUCUAUUUAGCAACAUUUCUGUGGUGGUGUCUAACCAGUUAGAAAAUAGAGCAAAAGCAGCCAUUUUUGCAGCUUCUCUCUUAUUUGGCGGAUUAUAUUUCUGUAACAAUGAUCUUCUCGUUGAAUGCUUAGUAGAUGCAAUUGCUACAAGAAUAUUUCUAUUUAGCAACAUUUCUAUGCAAUUGUCCGACCAGUUAGGAAAUAGAGAAAAAGCAGCCAUUUUUGCGGCUUCUCUCUAAUUUGGUACAAACAAACAAAGAUUACUCGUUUGAUGCAAUGAUUCCAACUCUUUUCCAAAGAAAUCUUAAAUCACAGUAUGAUCAUAAUAUCCUAGCAAAGAAUAGUAUCAAAUUCGGUUCGUUUAUUUUAGUUUUUAUUUUUUAUAAAACAGCUAUUCACUGCCUAAAGAAUGACCAGAAAAAGUAUCGAAGUACGCUUCUCCUUUGGCAAAAGCCAUUUUGCCCCAAGAUUUUGGUGGAUUUGUGAUGGUAUGUAUGAAUUUAGGAUUUUGUGUAAUAUGAAAAAUUAAUUUUGAGUAAAUAUGAUGCGGGUAUGCUGGUUAGAGAUAAUAACUUAUAAGAUUGAUAAUAUUACUAGUAAACCAUCGGAAAAUUAUAUUAGAUUAUGAUUUGAUUAUGCCAUCAGAAUAUUAGAUUAAAGUAUGAUUUGAUUCUGCUAUCAAAAUAUUAGAUUAGAGUGGUACAUAUGAUUUGAUUUCGGUCAAUCUGUCAAAUUAGAUUUUCGGAAUAUAGAAUAGGAAAUCUAGUUGUCUUCUUAAUAUAAAUAGCAUUAUGUAUUGUAGAAUAAUAGCAUGUAUUAUGGCUUUCAAUGAAGAACAUUCUUCUCCUAGGAAAUUUAUCUUUGAAUCGUUGUUUUCUUGAAUCCUCAUAUUUUCUUCAAUAACUUAUACUAAAAUUAAUUUAGGGUAAAGAUAGCACAGAUGUAUUGGUUUGUGACUUUUCUGUUAUUAACUGAUAAGACAGCAUCAUAUGCAAUUAGGGAUGUCAAAAUAUUUCACAAACCCAAAGGGUUCCCUAAAGCCAUAUGAAAUUUGUAACAUGGGUCACAAUGGGCUUCGAAAAGAAAACCCUAAAAAAUGAGUUUCAGUGUGCUAUGAAUUCACUUAAUCAAAAUAGCAAAGUUCAAGAAAACAUCCCUCAGUCCCUCUCCUCUCUGAAGAAUCAAAGUCAUCUAUGGCCGACGUCACUAGCCAUUCUGCUUUUUGAUAUUUGUGGCUUUAUACCCGUUUACAUUUUGUAGAGUCCGUAAAUGGAGGGAAUUGUGCAGACCUUGCAAAGCAAGAAGAUAUUGAUGAUUUUCUUGUCAGUAGUGCUCCCUUGAAUUUAUAUUCUACUCAAUCAUUUCUCAUAAAGCUUGACAAUCACAUGUUUUUUCACCACCAAAAAAAAAAAAGGCUAACGAUCAUCAUGAUCCUGCUAAUUUGUGUAUGAGUUGACAUGUGAUGCAGGGUCCUCAGUCUGUUACAUUUGUCAACGUUGUAACAUCCCAAAAAAUCGCAGCUUGAUGAAUAUUGAUGCAGUUUUCACAAGGAGAGCUAAUAAUGGGCGACCAGAAUGCAAUCAUACCGAAGCAUAGCGCAUCAAAAGUUAUGAGCUGGUUCUACACAAGUCGAUUUUUCCCAGUCGUUAAAUGUCGUUCCCUUUAAUGGGUCUUAGGAAUUUGCCAUCUAUUGAUUUUACAUUUGCCGAACUUCUAUGGUGUAGAUGAAUAGAAGACAAUAUGUCCCAUAGUUUUCCCGUAUCAAGAAGAGUAAGUGUCCCUAAAACUUGGAACUUGCUGAGGAGUCUUUGUAUUGAAAAGAAUAAUGAAUGUGAUGCGAUGAUGUUGAUGGCUACUGUUUUUUUCUGAUCCGACAUAUACCAUCAUCCUCUAAACUUACAAGAGAUUUCAUAUUAGAUAAAUCACUACCUGUCCAUAUGGAGAAAGAGCCAUGCAGUGGACGGAUAAUGCGAGUGUCGAAAUCAUUCCCGGUUUCUUCAGAUUUAUAUUCAUACAAACAUCUUCUUGAAUAAUUAUUGAUGUCUCGCAUGAAGAUGAAUCAACAAUAAGUACUAUUCAAUCAUUGCAUUCAUAGUUUUAGCGAGGACAAUACUCAUUGCCCAAGCAAAGUCCUUCACCUGUCAAUUGUCAUUUCUCCGCCAGCUUCAACCCCCAUCCAUAACCAAACCUAAGUUCCCUCAUUGACUUUGGCUAGCCAAUUUAUGGAGUUGUCCAUUCCUCAAAGGCAACAUUUUAAGGAGAAAAAACACUAACAAUGUAGCUUAGGUUGGAUUGAAAAUGAAUUGCUAAAAUUAUAUUACAUAAAAAUAAAUUAACAUGAAUUAAAUGAGUCAAUUUGGUACAAGAUUGUCACACUAAUAACAUGAGAUCUUGUGUUUUGAUUCGCCAAACUUGUGAUAUGAUGUAAAAGUCUCAGAUUUUUUUUUUUUUAAUACAAAUUGUAUCAGAUUCCAAAUCUUGUACUGUCAAACGAAAGUGGUUCUAUCUUCUUCUUCUUCUUCUUUUUCCAAAGAAACGAAUUAAUUAGUGCUUGCUCGGAAAUUUCUAAAAUUAACUCCUUGUAAUAUCGUACUUUGAUUAUACUUUCAUUUUACACUUGAUUACUUAACAUUGUGAAUAUUUUAACAAUUUAUCAUGAAGUUUUUGUACUAAGUUACGAUAAUGUAUUGUAAAAUUGUACAGUAUGAAAAUUGUACUGUAAAAGCAUUCAUACUUGCAUUUUAAUUGUUUCUGUGACAAUUGCGUAAAAAUGAGCGAUCAAGUAUAAUAAUAAACGGACCGAAGAAAUCCAUCGGACACGAGAUCUAUGUAGUUAAGGGAACUACUUUACAGGACGAGUAGCACAAAGUAGCGCUAUAGAUCAACCGAUAUGACGGAAAUUACAAUUAUACUCAAAUCAUUUAAACAUUUUCAAUAUUUUCCAGCAAACAAGUUCACCUAAUAACUAACUCGAAGUGUUUAACCACACACAAAUCCUUGUAAAAUAGUCACCCGAUAUCACGGAGAAAUUCUCAAAAGUCAUCACGAGAUGGCACUAACUCGACCAAUAUCGAAACUCGGACUUCCAAAUGUUUGCAAUUUCAUCACUUCACUCGGUCUCGACGAAUCUGAAAUUUCUUGGACUUUCCUUGAAGAACCCAGGGCCAUCCGCACAACAUGGGCCAAGCUUCAACACAUUUCAAUUCAGGUUGGACUCUCUUGUAAUGAGCUCAGACUUGUCGUAUAUUUUAACUUUUACUUUUACUCGACAUUUGAGUCAAAUCACAAUAAUUUCAUGUGGGCUAUUCUCCCAUAGGUUUCCCAACCACUGCAAUCGUUUUCGAAGUCCAAACAUCAUUCGAAUUUCACCAUAACCAUGGAUUUUAUUAAGACGCCAACUCCUCUUGCACCUUUGGCUGAAGGCUUCUUUUACCAAGCAAAACCACAAUUACAUUUUUGCCUAUUAUCAUCCACUUAUGUUGUCAAACUUAGCAGCUACAAUAACUAUUAGUUCUACAGACUUCACCUCACUAAUGGUACCGUCUGUAUGAAUUAUUGUGUAAGUUUUAGCUACUUACUUGUUACCUCAAGUAAUUACAACUCAAUAUUGAGUUGGCCACUAUUAAUUUCCUCGUAGACGUCAUGUUCUACUUCCCCAGAAUUCUAACAUCUGAUCACAUUCAAUGAGGAUCUAUUUACCAUGUAGUUUGUUGUAUUGAGCGCAUCACGGCGGAUAGUGAUCGAUGGAUGGCGGAUGGUGGAUGACAAUCAGCUAGUAGUGAGGACGAAUAUUAAGAAGAGUAUAUAUUUCAAUAUUAAGAAGAGUUUUUAUUUCUCAUUUUUAUUCUAGAAAUAGAGAAGUAAAAAAAAAUUACUUUUAAUUUAUGUUCCAAACCUAUUUCUUAAAUAAAAAUCUAUUUCAUAAAUAGAAAAAUGAAAUAAUUUUACCAAACAUAUUUUUAUUUCAAAAAUAAGUUUGGAACAGAAAAAUAGUUCUUGAACAGAAAUAGAAUGAUAAUCAUGUGCACCCUAAGUCUUUCUUAACCACUGGGGGUUCGCCCCAGUGGCCACCCUUCCAACAUUGAAGGGGGAGGUGAGGGGUUCAAAUCCUCACAUUCUCAGGGGGGAUGGGGGUAGGGACGCGUAAGUUUCGAAAGUGGGUUGCGACUCCCACGCCCUGCAAGAGGCAGGGCACAAGUCUGCGAGUGAGUGUAGAGUAGGAAUAGAGUAGGACUGACCAAAAAAAGUCUUUCUCAAAUAGUCAUUCAUAACCACAAGCAUAAAUCUAACACUCUUUCUUGAAACGACAACCUGCAAAGAUCCAAGCGAAUCAACUCUCCCAAUGAUGGUAGCUUUUCUAACAAUUGUACUAAAAUGCAUCUUUUGUUGUUUGCACAAUGUAUAGUACCUACACAUAUUUAGCUCCUUAGUCACAUAACUAUAUAAUAGAUUCCUCUCACCCAAAACCUGCAAGCUUCUCAUGCCAACAUGCCCCCAAAAACAUUUGCCACAAUCCAUCUCUUUAACAUAUGCAUCCAAUUUCCAGGGCAUUUAAGCUUCUAUAUGCUUGAUUCCUCUCAUCAUCACUAAGUCAUCUUGAGCAACCUUCUAGUUUUGAAAGUAUAUUGACAACACAAUUGAAUCUAGGACACUCAAGCACAUCAAGCUCUACUUUAACUUUGGAGCAUGUCUUACACCAAUCAACAUCUUCACAAUAUCAUCAUAUAUUUUGAUUCUAAUGUCACUUAUACCUACAAUAUUGCACUCAACGUUGUUCUCCCACUGCUCGGUACCACCACUCUUGCACUGAUAAGUAGCAAACCAAUAAAAAUAUGUUCAACGACGCAUCCUUAAUGACAAAAAACACGUUAUCAAUACUCUUUAAGUUACUAUCACUAGAUUGUGAUCAUGAGGAAGCCAGCCCAGUCGAGCGAACCCACGGCUGCGUUUGCAGUACCUUCAAAGCACUCACAUGGGCAACUGAAUUGUAUUGCAAUAUGGGAGACUAACUUGCCCGGCCAUCACCAAGAGGUUGCAGGAGCACUUCCUUAUGCAAGAUCACAUCACUCGACUCUUGUACCGAAACUGCCUCGAAGCAACUCAGCAUAUUCUUGGCCCACAUUCGCCCAUAUAAUUGUCGACAUACUAUUUCAUUGAUUGAUAGGAUAGACAGACCAUCCAUUUGUCAUGUCAGCCUUUCACUUUUGCCUUUGCACUUGAUGCAGGAGGCAUCCGAUGCUAGCGUACGAAACCAGAAUCAAUCUAGAACGGCUCGUGCUACAUAUAGAGUUUACAUCCCGGGCGAGAACCAAUCUACAGUAAAUUAUCCCGAACCUGUCUUAGAUUGGAGUUAAAUUUCCAAAGUGAGAAUCCCAAAUUGGCUCAAUUAAAUAUGUAAAUGCACUGAACACGCAUGCCGAGUUAUUAUCUUUUCUCUUAUUAAAUAAACACAUACCAAUUUCAAUUCGACAUACGUCCAUAAAUCUAAAUCAUUAUUCCACUCAAAACUUGUUCAGCCACUGUUGAAGAAGUCAUCAGAGGGAGAGGAUGCGGAUGGGAAGGAGGGAAAUGUGGUUGAAAAUGAAGACGUGUGCUCCAGGUUUUGUGAUAGAAACUACCUAAUAACAUGGAAUUGAAACCUCUCCUAUUGAUUAUGACCUAUUGAUUACGUCAAAUUUAUGUUGGCAGGAAAUUGCUUGGCAUUUCAGUCAUCGCUAAUUGGCUUAGACGAAUUAAGAGCUUAGAUACAAUCAUGUAUCUUGUGCAAAACAGAUGAUUAGACGAUCGAGUUUAUGGAAAAAAAGAAUAAGAACUUGAGCUAUUAGGUCUUGAAAUUCAGACCUAGAACAAUUCAAACCCUCCAAUUUUUAAAAUCGACUGCAAAAGAUCUUAAAUAGGAAAGGGCAAGAAUUAACCGCCGUCUAAGGUGACGCCAGUUUGUUGAUGGCUUAAUUAUACUUUUGAGCACUUCAUCGCACAGUAUAAUUUUGCACCCAAUCUUCACUAUUUUAUCGCCGAGUGGCAGGGCAGAUAUGAACCUCCAGUCAUGUCUACCCUCUUAGUUUUGUUUUUGAAUUUGUUAUCAAACCAAAGUCGGGAUAGUUUUAUCGCACCCCUAGGGCCAACGUCCGAUUAUUCGCAUUUAUCGCGUGCGAGGCGCGUCACCAACGUCGGUUAUCAUAAUUGCUAUCCUAUCCGGGUCACCUCACACCGAGUUGAAUUCAAUCGCACGCGAUGGAUGACAAAUCAUGAUUUUUCACGAAGACGUCGGCGUGGAUCUUGUAAAAUGGCCCGACCAUAUUUCCUCGCCGGACCCAUACGGAAGGGCAAGUUGGGUGGAUUUCACAUAUUUUAACCUGAUUUGUCAAUAAUUUACAUCUGAUUGAUAACGACAUAUUGGUUGAGUUGAAUCCAACUUUUGAUUUUCUUUCCCUUACUCUCCUGAUUUAUGAUUUACAAGGAAAUCUAGAAGAGUCGGCGAGCUUUGAUGGUUUUUAGCCAGCUGGUUUUGCUUGCUAAUCGCCUUUUCAUUCGAAUCAACAACGUGAGUAAGUGAAUUUUGGUGACGAUCGUAUUUUCGAGAGUGCCUAAAUCUGUGGAGUUUCGUCUUGGAAUAAUUAUUGUAAUUUAAUGCAUGAUGCGGACGUUUUGUAUAUCUGAAGUUGGGGUCCCUCAAGGCAAAGGAUAUCUCUUUAUUUGAAUUUGGAAGUGGACAAUUUCACUAAAAAUAAUUACUUGUGUCACUUACAAAAAUGAAUGAACAAAAGAAAAUUCAUUGUUCACAGAAUUAUCCAGCCAUAAAUUAGUGUUGACAAUGAUAUAUUUUUCAUUAAUUAAUUAUUUUAAAUAAUAUAAAAAAUCAUUAUAUAUAUAUAUAUAUAUAUAUAUAUAUCAUUUUUAUAUAUAUUUUUUACAUCAUCAAUUUUCCUCUAAACAAACGCGGUAAAAAAACAUAUUUAUAUAUUACUUUGAAGAAGGUCUCUUUUAUUUGAGGAGAAGAGCCGCUAGAGUCUAUGACACCAAGUUUUGUAUUCCAAAGGGCAUAAUUAUCUUUAAAAAUAAUGCUUGCACGCUUCAAUUAGUUGAUCUUAAUUUUCAUAAUUUUCAAAAAAUUUCUAACAAUUCUUAUUUUUCAUAUCAUAUAACAUAUUUUUCCAAGAAAAGUUGUCUCAUCCUUAGCCCAUUUAAAACCGGCGGAACGACUCAGGUGCAUCGGAAUUGUGAGGUUUAAGAUUUAAAUGCGUGGAACGAAAAUCCAAAGACUCGAGUGCAUACUCGAGAGAAUUUUUUAUCUUGCCCUGUAAUUGUCCCUAUGAAUUAAGCGUUCAUAUGAAAGAACGAUCUCUCGAAGGGCCUAAUCCUUCUCCGAUUUCAAGUACCUCAUUUCGGUAUCCGAAGACAGUUUGCAAUCGAACCAGGUAAUUGCAGGGCAAACCAGUUCUUUGCUCUUAAAGAUUAGUAAAUAUAUAUAAAACCCAAUAAUUCAAAUCUAGAUCGUGAAUGAACAGAACAGAAAAUUUUCAUCGAUUAUUCCCGUUUCCCAUAUUUAGAUAUCGGAAAAAAGAGGAAAAAAUUGGUGAAUGUUAGAAUGAGGAGAGUUACAGGGUAAUUGAGCUACCUGGGACGGGGUGGUCGGACAUUCUGUCCUACCUCGGGAAUUUUAUCCCGAUUCCCAACCCGUGCCCCGCGUCGACGGAGGCGGAUUUGAUCGGCUCCUGAGGACGAGUUUCUUUUCUUCUUCUAUUCUAUUCCCUUUCUCUUUUCUCUUUCGGCAAUCCGUGUUGAUGGGUCUUCAAGAGAUAGGCAUCAACUCUUGCGGAAUUUCAUUCUUUUUUCCACUCAUUAUUGUCGAUGUUUGAUAGACUCUAAUCAGCCCAGAUGCUGAGGAAUCAUUCUUUUGAUGUUGCAUCAUGACGGGCAUAGUGGUUCGAGCACAAUUGCAACCCUUGAUGUUGAUCUCUUUGCAAUUCCUUGAGGGAUAAAUCAUUGUCCUUGCGUGUUCACAAACUCUUCCUUGAGUGUACUUAACUUAAAUCAUCUUUUACAAAACUCUUCCUUGAGUACUUCAACCAUCUUUUGCUUUGUCCAUGGUCAAUCGACUUGACUCAUAAUUAUGAAAAGAAAUACAGAAAAUGACACAAAUGAUUUAUAAUUUUUUUUUUUUGAUAUUUUUAAUUUGUUCAAUACGGCCUCUCAAUUUUAUCCGAAUGUGUAAUGUCAUUCCUAAACUUUUAAUUUGUUCAAUGUGGCAUUAAAAUUUUAAUACAUUUUCAAUCUAACCCCUAGAUUAUCAUAUUUAGACCUGUCAAACGAGUAAAUCGAGUCAUAAAUGGUUCAAUCCAAAUAGACCUAUUUAACAUGUUUGAAUCCAUUUUUCAUGCAAUGCAAAUCUAGUAUUCUAUACACAAUCCAACUCAUAUUGCUAAAACACUUUCAUAUUUAAUCUAAUUUACUAAAACUCAUAAUCAAACUAAGGUGAGAGUGUGGAGUUAAUGAACGCGAGAUCAAGUACAGGCAAGAUAAACUAAAGAGUGAGAUAUAAAAUAUAUUAAAUCUAAAUAAGUUGUAAACCCACUUAUAACCAAUUUAUCAUUCAUUAUGACCCAUUUGACAAUAAUAUUAUGUUUAAAUCCAUUUUCUUAGUAUAACUAACCCAUUUAUAAUCCAUGAUCCAUUUAACACUAAUAUUAUGUUUAAACAUAUUUCUUAACCCAUGGGUUUAAGAUUUAUCUCGACUGAUUUAAUCAUAUCCUUAGAUUUGAUUUAGUCCAUAAAUUAGCUAGUUCAUAGACUAAAUAAAACAUGUACCAAGAAUUCUUAGAUUAUAUCGAACAAAUUAAAAAUCGAGAACUGACAUUACAUAUUAGAUAAUCCAUUAAUCAUGUGUUGUUUUCCCAAAAAAGUACUGGCUCAAAUUCAAAAUUGUCGAGUCGAAGUUCAUUUUUUUUUUGUCGGUCUUAUUUUACUAUUUAUAUUUUAACUCUUACUUUCGAACAUUUGUCAUGUCUUCUUACAAGAUAUGGAAAUCGACUCACGCUUGAAAUUAAUUCGUCGGUCCGGGAACACGAGGACGCGUCGGUCCGGGAACACGAGGACGCGCUCACGCGGGCAAGUUGGUCGACUGAAAGAGAGAGAGAGAGAGCAAAGCGAACGAGACGUCACGCGUGGCGGAACAGUGAAAGGCUUUUGGCGUUUCGCGGGGCAGCGCGCGUCACAUCGUCAGUGCCAGUGGGGUCGGCGUCGUACGUGUUUUUCUUGUGCAAGCUUGCGAGGUGACUUGUUCGUUUUCUCCUUUUCCUUUUCCAUGGUUGACACGUCGGAUCGGCCCCCCACCUCCCCCAAUCCACCCAAUCAUGCCUGUCUCUCACUUUCGGAAGAAAGUAUAUCCUUUUCCUAUAGAAUUAUAUGCCAAUUUGCCAUUAUAUUCUUCUCCUUUUUUUCCAUUAUUUUGAUUUUAGUGUUGUGACUGUUGCCGUGUCCUUAAAUAAUCAAAUUAAUACCAUCAAGUGUGAUCAUUGAAAAUAAAAAGGAUUCGAAUUGGGAAUAAAACAAAUUAGUUGGAGUACCCAAUUCGCAAUAAAAAAGUUUGAGAAUUUAAUUGCAAAAACUACUUAUGUUAAAGUUCUAUAUCUUUUGAGAAAAAGUCACAAAAACUCUCAAAUUAUACUCAUUAUGAUAUAUUUAUUUAAUUUUUUUUGUAACAUAAAAUCCCCAAGCUAAGUCAACCAUGACUUCGACUCGAAAAAAAAAAAAAGUCCACUAUCACAUUUUUAUCUUAAACUUUUUCAUGUAACAUAACAAAACCUCAAUUGUAUAUCUCUGUGAUAUAUUUAUUCCCCGUUAAAGUUCUAAGAUGAUUUCAACCAGAAUAAUAUUGUUUUUAUUUGUAUUAAGCCAAGCAUCAUGUCAACAUUGUUUGCUUUCUAGUGUUUACAUAGAAAGAUUUUUAGCCGUUCUUAUUGACAGAAGUUGACGGAGAGUAAAUAUAUCUUAUAGUUAAAACUUUGAGAUUUUGGUGUUACAAAUUAAAGUUUAGAAUAAAUAUGCCACAACAAGUAUAGUGUAUGAUUUUUUGUGACUUUUAGCCUUUUUUUUUAAUGGUCGAAAAGUUAAAGUACUAUAUUUGGGUGUUGAUUUGCCUAUAAACAGCAAAGAGAGAGUACUUCUAAAGUUCUCAUAAUUUUAUUCUAACCAAAGAAAAUUCGUCAAAAAAAAAUCUAACCAAAGAAAAAAGAAGAAAAAAGCUAUUUUUCCUCAAUGAUGUGCCUACUUUUCUGAAUUAAAUUUGGACCUAAUGAUGUGCCUGUUUUUUCCCUUUGGUUUCUUUAUUGGACUAAAUUCUAGGAGUUUAACAUGUUUUUGUCCCUUUUCUUGUUAUAUCAGCCUAGGCACAUCAAACAUGCAAAUUGACAUAAUUGAGUGAAAUAAUUAAAAAAUGACUUGAUUGGAAGAAUCAAGUAUGGUAGACGCCCUGAUUUACACCAAAAGAAAUUUGAGGAUCCAAUUGCAAAAGUCGCACAAAUUAGACGACUAAAUUUGGACUUAACCUAUAUUUUGUGGGUUGCAUUUUUCCUGCGACGAUCUACAUGCUAGUUGAGGUGCAAAUUAAGCUUUAGAUCCUAGUAGUCGUCGCUCUGAAUAAUAAGCCAUGAUAUUUUAUACUUCCUACAAAUCUUACAAAUCAAUAUGCAACGAAUAUCUAGUUAAUGAAACAAUAAUUGAGAAAGAGAAAUGCUAGGCACAUCAAGGCUGGUUUACAAAAUACGUAACACAAUAAUUUGUCACCUAAUUUAGUAUUUGGAUUUGGUUAAUCGGUUUCAAUAAACCUAUGAUUUCUCAAUUGAGAUAUAUCCUGGAAGGAAGUUCAAUGAAACUCUAUCCUCUAUCCAUGAACAAGUGAAGUUGCACGUACUCACCCAUAUAAAUCUAGAUGUAUCAUAUUGAUUGAUUCUUAGAGAAUAUGACAAUCACAUAACAUGAAAAGCAAAAAUAAUUAUAAAAAAAAAAGGAAAAAAAAUACUAGUAAGAGUGUGAGGAUGCAGUCCAUCAGUUCGAUAGAUUUGUGAAGUCUACAAGUGAUAACUUAUAUUAAAAGAUUUAUUAGUUCAUGUAAUUAGAAUCUUUAAAAAUAAUAAAUUGAAAAUAGAUUGAAUUUAGAAGCAUGUACUCCCUUUCAAAUAAUAAGAUAUAUAUAGAUAGAUAGACGGAGAUAUGCAUUGCUAAUAAAAUUAGUCGGUUGUGUUGAUUAGAUUGUUUCAAGGGGGGUGGAUUUUAAAUGACGAGACAUUCAUUUUGCUCUAUAUGUAUUUUCAAUAGCAAGCUGUUUAUUAUUUAUUUAUUUAUUGAUAUAACUUUGAGGAAGCUGCUGGAAGCUGUUAAAUGACGAAACAUAUAUCAUGUUUUAUAAUCGAAUUCUAUCCAAAACUUAACCCACUUUCUUUUCAUUUUUUAAAAAGAAAUUCCGUGCUCCUUUCAUAUGUCGUGUGACAUCUGCUAAGUGGACAAAAUCUAAUCAAAAUAAAUAUAGCUAAAUUUUUACUUUAAACAAUUAUAGCUAAGCUUGUUGGCAUCUUCAAACUUUCAUUUUAUUAUAUCAAAACGCGGUGAUGACAAAGCAGUCCACAUUAAACGACCCCACAACUCCAUUGCGGGCACACAAGAAAAGGGGGAAAUUUUCAAUUAGGCCCUUUAAAGAGCCCACUUCCUCAAAAUGCCCCAGAUAAAUGAUUUUUUCUCAAUAGACUCCCUCCACUUGACGAACGUGAAUCAAUUAACCACAUCGGCGAGAAAAGUGGCCAGCCAGGAUGCGCGUGAGUGAUUUUCCGGCCAAGUAGAGGCAUUUUGGUCCAAAAACGAAAGCUCAUAGAAAGUUCAAAUUUGAAAAUGAAGAAUCCCUAGAGGGAGAGAGAGAGGGAGGAGGGGGAAGUGGGCCCGCGGUGAAGAUGCCGCCCUAGAACCAAUGAGGAUAUGGAUCCAAGUGUCAUGGGAUACCAGAUUCCUUGGCCGCGAAACGACCCAUACGGCGCCUGGCAAGUGGAAUUCGCCAGGCCAGCCUUUCUUUUAUAACUAUUCUAGCUAACAAUACAGUGAAUAACUUCUCUGUACGAGAUUAUAUCACAUCCAGCUUCGCUCGGGUGUCUAGUUGAUCGAGUGAGAUAAUAGAUCUCUUUAGGCUCAACAACUGGUUUCGGCUUGCCAUGGCCUUGUCAUGAGAGCAGCAUCAGCUCCCGACCAGUUUGUGCACAAGAGGCCAAUCUCACCUUCAAAGCUCUUAAGUGAUAUAAUCUUGUUAUCCUAGAACUCGUAGCACAAAUCGUCCUGACGCCACUCUCACGGACCAGUUGUAUUCGCCCCCUCUGCCUUUUCACUCUUCACUCGAUAACCCCAAGCACUGCUCACAAGUGUCACAAGUACGGGAAGAUUCAUAGACCGUAACAUUCUUCUCACUCAAUUUCGCAACGCCCUCGUUGCGAUCUAUUUUGUCGCUUCCUUGCGUCCCUUAACCAUUGAUGCGCCACUUUUGGGAUUUCACAUCGAAUGGUCAUGCUCGCCCAACAAAACAGGUUUUGCUCCUUGUAGCCUCUUUUGAUCUCAGCUGUUCGGGCCCUUCUCGGCCACCUGCACUUUCUUUGGCAAGUGUGGCAUUUUUCGCCAACCACAUCUUUUGGCAGCACCAUUUUUGCCUACUAAGCAUCUUGACCCCAGCAAACCAAAUGGAGGUUCUUUCCUUGUUGAAAAUGUGGCUAUAGACCUCUUCCAAUCGAUCCAGGAACAUUAUCCCUAUUUAGCGAGGAUUCAGUUCUUCUCGAACCCAUUGUCUGUUCAGCGAGGAACCAACUCUUCCUAGUGCCCCCAUUAUCAUCCUAGGAGCUUUAGAGAGUCGCGCUUUGUUCGAGCACCUUUUGCCCUGGUGAUUCACUCUCCGCCCUCGUAAGACCAAGAAGACCACUAGUACUUUGCAGCUCAACCCACACUGGAGCGCGGAGUCCGAUUCUCUGAAUCACCCACUUACUAGAGGGAUUCCUGUUCUGAUACCAUGUGUCACAAGCCAACAGAUUCAUUGGCCACGGAAUGACCUGUGCAACGCCUGGCGAGCGAAAUUCGCCAAGCCAACCUUCCUUCUAUAGAUGUUCCAGUGAACAAUACGGUGAAUGGCUUCUCUGUACAAUAUCAUACCAUGCCCAGCUUCGCUUGGGUGUCUAGUCUAUCGAGUGAGAUAGCAAAUCUAUUUAGGCUUAACAACUGAUUUCAGCCUAACAUGGCUUCGUCAGGAGAGCGACAUCAGCUCCCAACCAGUUUGUGCACAGGAGGCCAACCCCGCCUUCAGAGCUCCUAAGUGAUAUAAUCCUUAUAUCCUAGAACUCCUAGCACCAAUCAUCCUGACGCCGCUCUCAUAGACCAGUUGUGUUCGUCCCCUCUGCCUCUUCACUCCUCAUUCAAUAACCCCAAGCACUGCUCACAAGUGUCACGAGUACGGGAGGAUUCACGGACUGUGACACAAGCAUGGACGAGUCCAUCACCGUCACCUCACACAAUCUCGCACACUUGAGAGAAAGUCAAAACUUGCUAAGUCAAUCGGCACCUUGUGUUUUGCUUACCCAACACAUCCUUCAAAGCCACUUUUUUUUUUUUUAAUUCUAUGUCUUUAAUGUAGUAGUUAUACAUAUGAGUUUUGUUAUUAAAAAAAAAAAUCGAGAAUUAGUGUGGUUUUGGAAUAAUUAAUAUAUCAUAAUUGGCUGAUAACUUAUUUGUUUAAUAUUUUCAGUGAAGGUAAGUCCAAUUGAAUAUAUUUAUGAAUUCAAACUUGAAUUCCCUCUUGAUAAUCUUCCCAAAUUAAGGUGUUAGACUUUUGGUGCAUGUUCCCAAUAAUAUCCCUUCUUGCCAUUCUUCUUGCUCGGUGAAUGAGCAAUGUCAUACGCCUCCACAGCUUUGCCUAAACCAAAAGUAAUUAAUAAGACACUAUAUGUUGAAAAUUGUGUGGUGUGAUAAUUCAAUACUAAACUGGAUUUAACACAACCAUUUUCAUAUCUUGUGGUCAUCAAUGAUUCUCACAUCCCUAUUUGGUCCACCUAUGAGCCCUUCUUCUUAGUUGAAGCUCUAUAACAGCAGGAGUUGCAGACUUUGGUGUUAGUCCCAACACAAGGUCACUUGGCCCAAUUCAUAUAAGGUGUGUUUGGCUUAGCUUUCCCAAGAGAUUAGAACUAUGGACCUAUAAAGUCCAUUGGGAAAAAGUUAGGCAUCUAGUAAAAUUUCUUUGAACCACUUUAGGGAAAUGCUAGCUUUAGCAAAACUGAAAGCCUAAGACACUCCCCUUGGACUUUAGCAUUUUCAAAUGCUAUUGUGGGGUUUAAUGACUUUUUUCUUCCAAUUUUGCACUCACUAAUGAUUGUGUAUUCCAAUUUGGUCCGCCUAUGAGCAGGAAAACGUUGUCAGUCGUCAUGGUUGAGGCUCACUUAGGGUCACACAAUCUUGAUGGCAAUCGCUUGUCGCUUGGGGUUGCAUGACCUCGAGGUGACCCAAAUUUCUUUUAGCAGCAAUCUUGAUGAAUUCUACCUAGAAUGAUGACAAAUGGAGGAUGAACUCAAGCUUUCAAACUCUCAAUUCACUCCACUCACAACCAUAACGUCUUGCCAUCGACUCUUCUUUGAUCACUCAUAGUUUCGCACUAUAAAAUCACUCAGUUCUACUAUCUAAUUUUGGUAUGAAGACUCAUGACUUUACAGGAAAAAAAAAACAUAGGGAAGGAGCCCCCGUUUUUUGGAGAUAGAGACUUUGAGGAAAGACUAUGAGCUACUUCAAAGCUACUAUACAAAAGACUACACCAAAAGUCACUAACAAAACAAUAUUUGCUUUGAGGAAAUACACAUUAAGCUAAAAUAUUUGGGACACUAACUUUGCAUUUUCCAAAGGCUCAAUCAAACAUAGACGUAAUGUCUUUGCCAACCCUCAUCACUUACAUAAAGCAUGGGUCAUGGGCCAAUAGUUUCUUGGCCAAGGCAUAGCCCAUGUGGCACCUGAUGAGCCAAAAACACUAGGUGAGCCGUUCUUCUAUAUAUCAUUCCUAAGGACAAUAUGACAGAACGUAUCCUCAUAUCGGAUCGCACCAGAUCCAAUUAAGCUUGGGCAUCUAAUCUCUCAAACGAGAUAUACAACACUUUAGUACAAUAAUUGGUUUUGAAUUGCCAUAGAAUCAUUAGGAGAGCAAUAUCAACUCCCGACUAGUUUGUGCAUCAAAAACCAACCUCACCUUCAGAGAUAUUAUAUGAUAGUAUUCGUUUCGCUAUAGGAUUCCCAAUACAAACACCCUGAUGCUACUCCUAAAACCAAUUGUAUCAUCACUUCUACAUCACUCACUAUUCUCCCCGAUGCCAAUGUUCCACAUUUUAGCUCACAAGGGUAUAGGAGAAUUUAGUUCGUGACAUUCUCCCCCACCCAAUUUCGUGACGCCCAAGAUCCUCUAUCGCUUCCUUGUGCCCUACAACCAUAUAUGUCACUCUCUCGAGACCUAUAUGAUUGUGAAUGCUCAUUCAAUAGAACAAGCUAGUACACUCCAUUGUUAGCUUUUCCCUAAUUAAAGCUAUUUGCUGAUCUCUAGUCACAUGUGCUCUCUCUAACAAAUAUAACAUCUCGGGCCAAUUGCUCUCCCUCGGCACACUUUAUUACGCCUACUAGGCUUCUUAUGAUCUUAGCAAGACCAAUAAAGGUUUUUCUCCUUGCAUGAAACAUGGUAACAAACCUCAUCUUAAGAUUAACCCAUUGUUAUGAGCAAGUCAAUUCAUUUUUGUCCCUCCCCCUCAUUGCCAUUCUAAAAGCUUGCCAGAAGUCGCACCUUGUCGGAGCCUUCUUGGCCUCAACAAUCACCCCCUGCCCUCAUAGGACCCCAAUAGAACAUAAGCUUUCCUCAAAUAACCCACCUUCUAGAGGGAUUUUGCUUUGAUAGCACUUGUCGUAGGCUAUUGAUUUAGCAUUCCUUUACUCGUGUAGCCUUAGAAAACUCUUAACCUUAAAGUACUUAAAAAAAUUUCUGAUUACAACUGUAGACUCCAUUUAAUAUGAUGGUAGAUCUUUUGUCAUCCCAUCUAUGACUACCCACAUUAAUUCAAGAAUAUGGGAAAAAAGGUAUUAGAAACGCCAAAAGUUUCGUACAACACUCACUUUCUUACCAAACAAUUUUUUUCAAUUUUUUUCAAAUCACCGAAGUACCACUUUAAAAAAAAAAAAAAAAAGAUCACUUAAGUGCCAAUUCUGAAUUACAUUGCUGGAAAUCUGACACAUCCAUAUUUUUAACCAAUUUCUCUGAGUAAUAUGACUCGUCAACAUGCCCAAUCAGUGUAUGGACUCCUAAACGACGUUGUCUACAAUGUUUGACCCUAAAUAUGAACCCUAAAUCUCAAAUUGAAAGAAAUCCCCAAUUCAAAACCUUAUAACCAAAAUCAAAACCCUAAAACCGAAUGUCUUCUUCCGUAUAGUCUCCUCUCCUCCGGAACCUAAGGGGGAGACGAAGAAAAAUAAAAGGUGGGGACGAAAAUAAAUUGAAGAAAUCCCCAAUUCGAAACCCUAAAACCCAAAGUCUUCUUCCAUACAGUCUCCUUUCCUUUAGAACCUGAGGGAGAGACCAGAAGAAAAACAAAAAUUGGGGACGAAGACAAAUUUUGAUAACACUCCGGGAGAUUUUCGGGCUUCUUCCUUUACUGUCGAACGUCCUCCGUCAUCAAUUGCGACCAUUCCCUUACCAUGGUCAAGAAACUCUCUAUUAUCCUGUAUUUUUUUAUUCAAUCCAUCCGAGUGAGUCGAUCCUUUGCCCGAAGCUUUUUUCAUUGACAUCGAUCACCGUAGCCCGCGUAAUUGGGGUCACGAUUCCGCAUUCGAUUAUUGCUUGUCAUAUUCCGCAUUCGAUUAUUGCUUGUCAUUGUGGAUGUCUUGUUUUUGUGAUAUAUUGGGAGAAGCGUUGCCUUGCCCUAUCUCUUUGAUCAACGCUUACCUAAACCAUUUCGGAUGAGUUUAAACAGCAGUCUUGGUUGAAAUCCCUCCUCAGCAAGGUUGGUGUUCUUAAUAUAAAUAAGCCACACCAGAUAAAAAUUUAAAUUACAAAAGCUACCUAAUUAUUUUGGCUGAAAUCUCUCACCAAAUGUACUUAAGUAAUCAUUUUUUCUCUGAUGUGGCACAUAAGUAAACCGAUGAAAAAUUAUGAUACUUAAAUAAUUCAUAUAUGAAAAUUUUGGCACUUUUACGUCCUUUUCCCAAGAAUAUAUAUUUCACAGGUUGCCCACGAGGAAUAAUCUAGAAUCCCCUUGUGUCCAUUUCCUAUAGUGCCCCUAAAAACAUUUAGAUCAUUUAAGAAAGUGUACUACCUUAUAAGCUUCCAAGUUCACUCGAUUCUUUCGAUCACUUCGUCGUUUCAUUGUGCCCCGAAACACAUGAGUCUUCAUCAUCUUCCUUCUCUCUCCCUCUCCCAUCUGAGCCGAUGGCAAUGCUCUCGCCUCAGCCGAGCGAGGGACAUCAAAACCCUCACGGUUCCUGGUCAACGACGGCUUCCCUGUGCAAUCACGUUCUCUCCAUGUUUAGAGUUUUUCGAUUUUAAAUUCUCCCCACAAUUUUUUUUUUUUUUUUGAAAGAAAAAUGCUCCUACUCGGCCAGAAAAUCGUCCACGCGAGCUGCACAUACAUCCCGACUAGCCACUUUUACCACCCGCAUUUCACCGACGGGGGGCUAAUCGAUUCACAUUUGUCAAGCGCGUGGGGUCUUUCGAGACAAAACCAAGUAUUAGGGGGGCAUUUAAUAAAAUUGGGUCGAAUUCAAGGGGGUCGAUUGAAAUUUUCCCCUCCAAAAUGACGGCAAAGGACAAAAAAUAAAAUAAAAUAUUGGUUUCGCCCAAAGGCCCAAGCUAUCCAAGUAGACUCCUACUAAGUCCUUACGUAUCAAAAACAGUGCGUCUAUGUCGGACUACUUUCAACCAUACUUGCCGAAAGCAAAAGCUCACGACUCCAUCGAAAUUUUAUAAUCAUGGUCGAGAGAGAUCACUUGGAUUAUCCACACGUCGAUGGGUAUAAAGCCGCCCUUGUAAUAAGCUAUUCGACUCGCUUCCUUCUCUCUCCUUUCCGCCCUGCCCGCCGACUAUGAUAAUUGAAUUGGUGUCAGCGACACGACACCGGUCGGACUUCGUCUCCCAAUUCUCAUCGAUCAUAUAAAAUAAUUGCCGCCUCCCUCAUUGUGUUCUCUUUGGGAGUUGAAGAGUGCCCCGUGACGCAAAGCAGCAUGAUUUUCUCAAGUUUGUGAUAACUUAGUUUAGUCCUCCUCUGUAUUCUGGAAUGGACAAAGGGGUUGAGAGAAUAAUAAGCAUCUCACUAGGGUUUCAGGUGUUUAUUUUAAUCUCCUCAUCAGGGUCAGAUCUAUCUUGCCAUGUGAUGUGAGCUGUCAAAUUACACGAGUCAAUGGAAUUUGAAAAACAAAAGAAAAACGCCGCUGUUUCAGAUCCUGAUUGGAAGUGUUGGAUAAAAAUUAAAAGUUUCUCAUUCUGUUUUUUUGCGAUCCUACAGUAUUCUAUAACGUCCAAUAAUAAGUGUGCAAUCUAAAAUCACUAGUCAGGGUUUUUGUUUUCAACAAUAUCCAUGAUCGAGAUUUUCAUUUCAUUAAUAUUUCAUAAUUUUCGUGUAUUUAAAUAUGAAUUAUGAUUAAUAGAUUGUAACAAAUGAUGGUCAUUGAAGACGGUGGUGAUUCACUAUCAUUGUUCAAUUAAAACUACCGGUGAAACUAGAAUAAACCCCGAUACCAACUUUGGAACUGUGACUAAAUAGAUUUUAGAUUUCCCAAAUACGUAGAGUAUUCUUCAAGUUUUUAAAAAAAAUUAAUGAACCUAUUUCGACGCUCGCCUCUAAUCCUUCAAAGGCAAGUGGAUGAGGGAAUUAACGUCGGUCGGUUCAGAUUGGUCCGGUUAAAAAGUUUCGGGUAAUGCAUAUUUUUUAAAGGUGAAUUGUGGAAAAAGCUUUGGGCGACAAUGAAAUUUAACCUUAAGAAAGAGAGAUUGAACAAAACCAAAAGCAAAAGCCCCACCUUUUUCUUCUUCUUUUUUCAAUACAAAACCCCCCAACCCCCCCAACUUGAAUCGAAUGUAAUGCGGGAAUAUCCCCCCAAACGAACGUCGACCAUUUUUCUCCCCGGCCUCUCUUCCCAAAUCCAAGCCGUUUCGCAGCUCAUUCGACUCUCCUCUCUCUCUCUCUCUCUCUCUCUCUUUAUAUAAAUAUAUAUCUGCGAUUCUUCGUUGGCUUCCCUAGUAACUCUGCCGAGCCCUGCGCAAUCGGGCCAGCGUGGUAACGUCCGGCAUCAUCAUCGCCACCAUCGUCCUCUUCACCUCCUCCCCUCUCAACAUCUCUCCAUCUCUCUCUCUCUCUCUCUCUCUCUCUCUAUCCCCCACCCCCCACCACCUCUCAAAACCUCUCCUCCUCCGCCGCCCCCGACGGCGGCGCCGCCACCGCCGCCGCUGCCGCCACCCCCAUGAACCUUCUCCUCCUCCUUCUCUCCCCCUGAAGCCUCCCCUGGAGCAGGGGGGAUCGGGGGAGCCGAAGAGGGGAAACAGAAGCUGC
This 51388-nucleotide long non-coding RNA is filed under the name Eucalyptus grandis. RNAcentral describes it as "long non-coding RNA (EGRA_LNC006451)". The record is from RNAcentral. Lineage: Eukaryota; Viridiplantae; Streptophyta; Magnoliopsida; Myrtales; Myrtaceae.